AGACUCAAACCUAGAACCUUGCACAUCCCUGCCCCAAGUAUACAAGAGUUGUUCAAGACAGUGAUCUCUCCCUCUCUCUCUCUCUCUCUCUCUGAUAUGUGAAUUUAAGUAGACAAGAGGGUUCAUGAUAACAAUCUCUUGAAACUUAUUUUUUCAUUUCUCACUCCCCUGUGUUGAUAACAUUAGUGGUUUCUCUGUGUUGUUAUCUGAAGUGGCUUAUUCUGUUUGAGCACUGAGCUUCCAAAAUGCAUAUUAGCAAUGUACUCUUUAUUCUCUCUCACCCUCUUCCCCUCUAUAUGCACAUGGACAAUGGUUGUAUUUACCUGUUUGUUUUUCUUUGCUGGAAUGACAUACAAUUGCUUUGAUAAACAGGAGGAAGUUAGGACCCAAAUUUCAGUAUUGGAGACAGAUCUAACGCAUGAAAGGAAAAAAUCUACAUCUGCAAUUGUUCGGGUUGAGAAAUAUAUUGAAGCAAGGCGGGAGAUGGAUAGGAAACUUGAUAUUCAAUAUCAGCGCAAUAUGUAAGCUUCACGUUCUGGUUCUUUAUUGUAUUUUUUUUUAAUCCUGAAACAAGGUUAAUCAUGUCUUUGGCUUAUCAUUCUGGAUUUUUUAGUCAGCUAUUCAUAUUUAUAAUUUAGUUUGGCUAUUUUCCAAAAUGUCAAAGCAUCAUUACAUUUGGUCUUAAAUUUUUGGUUGGCAACUAUGGUCAUUCCUUACUUGAACUGUUUUGAAUUGUUCCUGUUUGGCAAGAUUGAAAUUUGGAUUACCUACUGCAUCAAUUAUGCCUUGUGUGGUUCUGUGCUUGCUAAAUUAUUACAGAAGCUCAGUGGCAUUCUUGACUUUUAAUUGGAACAAUUUAGUGCAGAAGCGCUUGACAACCACAUGACUGCUGUUCAGAGGGACCAUGAACAUAGAUCCCAAAUAGAAGAAAGGCGAAUAAGGAAUGAGGCUGCUUUUGAAGAGGCAAGAAAAGAGAAGGCUCUUCAAGAAGAAAAGCUACGUCAAGAAAAGGCUAAAGCAGAAGCAAAGGUUUGUUUAGUUGAUAUUCCAGUUUCAUUGAUGUUUUGUUGGUGAAUCUCUGGUUGUAGUAUUUGUGACAUAUUACUACUGUUAUAGGUAUCUAUUCAGGUAUAUUGAAAUAGUUAUUUAUUUAUUGGUGUUGUAUUCUAAAUGACUUUAUUUUUUUCCUUGUGGCAUCUGAAACUUGGAUGUUUUUGCUUUUAAACUCAGAAGGAAUCAUAUUCAUACAUCAAUUUGUUGCCAUCUGUUUACUCUGGCAUGGUUAUCUAUCACUGCAGUUAUGUCUUGAUUUUGGAGCUAUCCAUGUUUUUCCUACUAUUUUGACUCAUUCAAGAUGUGCUUAACACUUCUGCAUUAAUUUUUAUUAUGCUGUAUCCAAUUACCUAUAUCCAUUAUUGAGAUCCUUUUAAGCCGAAUCAUUGUAUUGUCAAAUUUUGGGAUGUGAAAGAUCAGAUGCCUAGACACAUACCAGCAUCAGACGCAUGUUGUCUUUCUCUUAGAAUCUUGUGCAAAUUUCAUACUUUGACUCACCACAGGCAAACCUAUUAUUUUCAGUAAAUUUCUCUCACCUAAUCAAGAAUUGAUCAAUUUUUCACCACUGUUGUAGUAAGUGUGCCCUAAGUCAAGCCUUGACCUCUAAUAGAAAAUAUCUCAGACUAAAUCUUCAGUUGGAAUGCUUCACAGGAAUGCAAAGAGCCCAAAUUUGGAUUCUGAUAUGGCUUGUUGGAUCCAAUACUGCCUGUUGGAUCUGCAAAUGCAUUUGGUCCAACUUUGGUUGGCAUGUUGAAAAUAAGUAGAGAAUUAUCAAAAUAAGAAACACCAACCUAUCAAAAAAUUAAAAAUUAAAAUAAGAAACACCAAGCUCAAGGAUUUAUAUGAUUCACUUAAUAGGCUAUAUUCACCAAGAUGAUCUACAAAGUUUAAUAAAAUAACUUAUUUAUGGUGGAUUUUCACCAAAAACCACCAAAAUGGUGUGUUGAUAGAGAGUUGUAGAGCCUGAAACAAGAAGCAUCCUCAACAUAAAAAAUGGAUUUGUUCUGACAAUCAUGGAAACCAGUACCCAAAACAAACCUGAACAAGAAUUGUGUAGAGAACCGCUCUCCACUGUAGAAACCACACUCAAAGAGUCACAAUGAUUUCUCCUAGAAGGCUCUCUCCUAAAGUAGGACAUCUCUACUUUAGGUACAACCAAAUUACACUCUGAACCGCUUAAAUUGUAUAGUUGCGAACCCAAAGUCCUCAUUGAGCAAGGAAUAGAAAGUUGGCAACUUCCAUCCCAACUUGAAAACCCCAAAAGAAGUUUCCUUGAAGCAAAAUCUAUACAAAAAGAACCCUCAAUACGCAAUUGGAUACAUAUUCCCAAUGACAACUUAAAUUUAUCUGAUAUUUUGUCUGUUCAGAUAUUGAUUUUAUACACUAAACUAUAAAAAAAUUUAAGACUGUUUAAACUUGUCCCAAAAUUGAAACAGGGCUGAUCUGACAAGAGUCAAAACCACUUGGCGUCUGUGGCAUAGGUGCUUGUCUAUUAUAUACUUUAGGAUGAUAAUACUUAGUUUGUCAGAAGUAAGUUUUAUACUUUUGGAUGCAGGUUAGACUUGAGUUGGCGGCAAAGAAGAGAGCUGAGGAAGCAAAAAUAGCAGCUUUGGAAGAUGAGAGAAGAGCAGCAAAAGAAGCUGCAGAAAGGGAAGGUAUUGGAGCCUCUACAAGAGCUGCUACUGAAGUUGCCCCAAAGGAAGCUACAGGGCACCAGAGAGAUGCUAGUUUGGGAAUUUUAAAUGCUCAAUUGAAUGGAUCCAAAACUGAUGGAACUAAGAAAGCACAAUCAGCAGGUAUUUCUAUUUCCAAAUUGAAAGGACACGACUUUUUCUUUCUACCAGCCAAAACUUUAAGGAAUCUAAUGGUAGUUUUUCUUUUUAAACCAAGCCAACACCAUGGCUGUCUUCUAUUAAAUUUCAACACCUUUAAUACAAUUUCUUGCUUAGUAGUACUUUAAGUUAUUUUUAGAUGCUUCUCAUAAGAUUUUUUCUUAUCUAAGAAUGCAACUCACAAAUAUGAUUACAGGUAAUAUACUUAAGUCUGCAGAGAGUGCCCUAAAAUUAGAGCAAGAGAGACUACAGAAGUACAAGGAGUUUGAUGAAAAAACCCAGGCACUAGGACAAAGUUCCAAUAAGGUAAUGCCAGAAAUAUUGCUUUUGUGAUUUAUAAUUUAUAUGCUUAGUUUUCUGGUUGUUUUGGUUAUUCUUCUACAAUUUUAUAGCAUUAUCACACUGCAUUAAUUUUUAUUUUUUUUUAAAUUACUCAAUUUGCAAUAUCCAUGGUGUUGAAACUACAGCCUUGUAGUGGAAUAUUCUAAUGCAUUUUGAUAUCUAUCAAAUGUCAAACUCAAGCUUAAAGCUUCAAAUGUCCACGCAACUCCUUCAAGAAUCUUGGCCCAUAUGACAAACCCUGCUUAGGUGGAGGUUUGGUCCUCGAGUCUUAGUUCAAUUUAUGGACAUAGAGAACCCAUCUCCCCUUAAUCCCUCUUUAAGUUAUCCAUGGAUGGCCUAUUGCCUCUCCUUUUACACAUAUUCCUUUUCCUUUCAGGGAGUUGGCUAUUCCUCCUAACCCUGAAGUUGGCUGUAAUCAGUCUACUGUGGUAGUCUGUGUUCAUGCUUCUGUGACACUUCUACUAUGAUUACUCCUUUUGGGGACUCUUUAAUGAAUGUAAUAAACUUAGUUCCUUUAGAACACUUAUCAAAUGACAAUCCCUAACAAAUGGAUUAGCCAUAAAGGGCCUUUUAUCCAAUGAGAUUGGAGUAGCUAGAGUGCAGUUGUCCACUUUAAAAAUUAGGCUACUGAACCUCAAAGACCAUGGAUCCCUUUGAUCCAAGCCUAAGUUAACAUCUACUAAAUGAGAAGGCAUAGAUCCCCUUACUCAAACUUGGAUCAUUGGUUUGGUAUUCAUGUAUUCUGGUUUAAGGAAGGAUCUUCUGGGGGUUGUUGGUUAUAACUAUCUAUUGAAAAUUGGAGAAAGAAAGGGUGGUGAAAUUUUUGUUUUUCUCCUUAAAGGUUGAUUUGGUGUGUCUCCAGCAGUAAAAAAGUGGAUUCUAUGUCCAUUAAGGCUGUAAGAAGCUUGCAGGUGGAUGAUUAGAAGAAGGAUUUCUUGUCUUCUUGAGACAGGGAUUACCAUCAUUUAGGGUCUUUGUCACUCUGUUUGUUUGUAUUACCUUUCUAUCUUCAAGGCCUCAUCUGUUGUUACAUUUAGGAUUAAGAAAAUUCAAACAAAUUUUCUUUAGUUGAGGCCAGGCUCGGAGGAGAGAUCACUUGACAAUUGCUUUUUUUAUUAAUCAUGAAACAACAAAUUUAUUGCAUUGAAAUAGUAAGUACAAAAAGGGAUAAGAAAUCCUUCCAAAAAUAAAUAAAUAAAGGUUCCCAAAAAAACAGGAAAAAAUAUGUAUGGACUUUUUUUUGAGGAAAUUAAAACAAGUAGCACAACUAGAAAAGGAAACCAAAAGAAUGUUCAAUCUCAAAACUGCUUCAAGAACUUAGAGUCCCUUAUAAACAAAACCAACAGUUUUCUCACUUACCAAGCAUGAAAUUAUUAACUAUGCUUGAAGCCUUAAAAGAGUAGCAUCCUAAAUAUCUAGUGACAUCAGAAAUUUGGCAAAGCCACUCCAGCAUCCUUCUAUGGAUCUCUUUCCUUUAUGGACGUUUUUAAGAUGAUAAUACUUGAGUCUCCUUCCGCCUAAAGAUUAGGAAGGCUUAAAGUCUUGGCCUGCAGCAGGACUCCAAAAGUGUUGGUAUAUCUGCCUCAAUAGCCGAAUCUUUUCCAACAGGUUUAGAAAAAACUUUCAACAAUUUACUUGUUACUAGUGUGAUAUUGAAGCAUUCCUCUAGGCUCUAGCUGUCCUAGGUUACAAAAGAAUAGCGACAAAAUCUAAUUUUAUUGGGCUCAUCAUAGCCAAUAUCAGCUUAGGACUUCUCUUACCACCUAACCCAUUGGAAUUGCUGGCCAGGCUCCAGUUUAGUAAUAAAAAACUCAAAGGAGUGCUCAAAAGGCAUUGGUGGCAGAAGCGCAUAGAGAAGAAUAGAAAUAGACCAACCUUCCAAAGCCUCCAUCUAAAUAAUCCCAUCAUGCCACUUAAUGGAUAGAACCAUUUAGUCCAUAAUCCAGAUAUUUGAACAAAAAUACAAUUUAGAAAUAUUUGACACUUCAGUUUAGGAAUAAAAAACUCAAAUUUGUGCUCAAAGGCAUUGGUGGCAGAAGCGCAUAGAGAAGAAAAGAAAUCAACCAAGCUUCCAAAGCCUCCAUCUAAUUAAUCCCAUCAUGCCAUUUUAUGGAUAGAAUCAUUGAGUCCAUAAUCCAGAUAUUCCAACAAAAAUACAAUCUAGAAAAAUUUGACACUACAACAGUUAAACAGGCUGGAAAAAAAAAAGUAAAGAAAAAGAAAACAGAAAAAAAAAAUGAAAAAUCCAAUUCAGUCAGCCUUCCUAAAGAACACCAAGGUAGGAGCAGCACAUGCUGAUAUUUGCUUGAAUAGUAAUGCCAAGAGCUACAUAGUAGCAAAGUGGCUAGCAUAACCAAAUCAACUAUUAACACGAUAAGCCUUACAUAGACCACAAACUGGUAUUCAAACCAGUACAUCCAGUUCAUUUAGAAUCAAAGCAAUGCAAAUUGCUCUAUUCAAACAUGUACAGCCUUGUGGUCAGUUGAUUUAGAAUUGAUUCAAUGCAAAUGCUCAACCAUGUGCAUAAUGCAUACUGGAAUCUAUGCAAUGCAAGUCACAGACUUUGGAAGCCAAGAAGGGUAUGUUAAAGCUCAAUAAGGUGUGGAAAUGAUAGGCUCUAUUGGAUUUAGAUUUGUGAUCCCUUUGGGUAAAAUAGAGGUCCAAGAAAACUGAAAAUAGUAUUCCAAAGUGACCCUUAGGUGCACUCUUGCAAAAUCUAGAGGGUGUCCUGCACAAUUAACAAUUGUGUUUGUGCCACACCAGUCCAACCUAAAUCCUAAUGUCAUAGUCCUAAGUCUGAGUUUGUGGCUCAAAAGAUAUCAGGUAGAAUUCAGCCUAGAGUACCCCACCUUAAAUCACCCAACCCAUUCAGGAGCAUAGGUAGGCAACUUCCAAGGACACUCAAUGACAUCCUAUACGUACCUACAUGCAGUAUAAAACAGCCCCAGAAAGUCAUUUCAAUGAAUACCAAAUGCAUUUCACUUGUCUUGAUCAUUCAUUUGUCACUUAAAAGUACACACAAUAGGCCUUUUCCUUUUGCAACACAAUCAAUACCCUAACAAGUCACAAAUGCAUGGAAAAACAAUUAAAAAAUUUUCCUUUUUAUCACCCAUCCUAAUCCACAAUUCUAAGCUUAAAAUGCCAAAACCAAGUGUCUGAAAUUCAAGUCCCAAAAUUAUAGCAACUUGUGCACAAGUUAUACUACCAAAACUGCUAUCACUUAUAUAAACCAAAAUUUCAUUAUCAAACACAUAGUUCAGGUCCCAAGUUCUAUGCAAAAUCAUUCUUUAUAGUUCUGGAAUAAGCUGCUAAGUGAUGUUCAACAAGCACAGUUCAAUUACCAUUAGGUCUGACUAUUGUGAACAGGAAAACUCAAUUAGAGGCUCAACCGUUAUUCCAGGAUUUCUACUCAAUCAAUCAGUCUAAACAAGCUGAUCCAUGUACAAUUGCAUUCACAACAAUUAUGCAACUACCAAAAGAGUUCAUCAGCUAUUCAAAAACAAGGCAACUGAUGUUAUGAAAUACUGUACAGGGCUUGGUAGUCAGAGAAAGACAGUUUCCAUUGUAGACACAGUGCAUUUGUCAAGGUGUAAUGCAAAUGGGCAUUUAAUUUACAAUGCACUCGUUUAAAAACUGAAAUUAUGGAAGGAAAACUCAGCGCAGAAUCCAAGGAAUGACGCAGUCAAGUGAUCAGUAGAAAGCUUCAAGUGAAAGCAAACCACUACACCUAACCCCCUAAAGCUUUCUAGAUCAUGCUUUGCCCACUUGAAUUCAACUUGCCAUACUCAAUGACCCAAUAGAUGAAGGAGGACCAAACUGGAGCCCUAGAAUGCACUUUAACACGACCAUGACAGGUUUCUUGAACAGAGUGAAAUAAAAGAAGUGGUAAUGGAGAGAAACUUUGCAGGAAUUUUAGGUGGGAAUACUAUUUUAGGGGCCUGUGCUAAUCAUUCUCUGGGUGCUCUGGAUCAAUAAGAGAACUAGAGUUUUUGAAGAUCUGUGUAGGACUAGAUAUCCCAUGAGAUUCCAUUUAUUACCAUUUUUCUCUUCAGGAGUUUUGUGUUUAAGGCAUGCAUUUUAUUAUGAUUUUAUUGGAUUGUGGAGAAUUGUGAAAUGAAGGCAGGGGGUGUUUAGAAGGUAGCAUUGACUGGAAACCUGGAAAGGUUUCCAGGUUAGAGCCUUCUCCAAAUUGGUUGGUUCUGGUUGGCCAUUUAGGUAGAGUGUCAUGCUUAUUUGGAAGGUUUGAUGGAGAUGUCCUCUCGAGGGAGAUCUUAGCUGUAGUUAUCUCAUAGGUUACUCAGGGGAUGAGGGAGCCAUGACAAUUGGAUUCUUUAAUCUGUAAGAUAAUUGAUCUUUCUAGAGAUUCAGUUGUUCUUUUGAGUUAUAUGUGUAGGUCACAAAAUUGGGUAGCUAACAGGUUGCCCUAACAAGGAACCUUUUCUUGGAAUUCUUUAUUUGUGGAUGCUGGUGGUUGUUAUUCUCAGUGGGUUAAUUUCAUUAAUAAAGUUUUGUUGCUUAUCAAAAAAGAUAUAUUUAGAACUUAAAUGCUGGCUUAUUUCCCGUAAAUCAUUCUGUCACUUGGUUUCAUGCAUGGGCAGGAUUUUCAGAGACAUGAACAGCAAUUUGCUAGGCGAAUAAGACAAAUAUCAGGGUCAAAAGAGAAUGUCAGGUAGGUGAAGACUUUCAUUUAGGUUCAUGGAUUGUCAUGGUAUAUUAUUGUUUUUUAAAUGUAAUUUCUGCAUGGUUGCAAUUUGUUAUGAUAGUAACCAAUAAAUUGUAGGAACUUGCCAAGUUUUGACUUUAACCAUGCUUUUAAGCAAAAUACAUGACCCAAUGCCCACCAAAAUCUAGCAACUAUUCUAUCCUUGCCUUGGAGGUGGACCUUACACAGGACAAAAGUCUAUAUGGAGAUGAUUUCAGCCUUUGCACCUUGUGAAGGUCCGGCAACCUAUUAUGCUAAAUGCUUCCUUAUUUCUGUCAUAGCUCAAGGGAGUUUGGACAGAAUAUUUUUCAAUAAUGGCUCCCAGCAUUCCUAUUGCUUACCAUGUAUGACUUGUGGGAUUGGGGCCUGGAGCCUGUGGAUGGAGAUGCACACCCUCAUAGGAAUUCAUUUUUGUUUUGUUUUGUUUUUUUUUUUUUUUUUUUGUAUAUAUAUUUUUUUUAUGAGAAAGAAAAACAUUGUUGGAAACUAGGAAGGAGGCACAUGAGUUCUUUCUUGAUUUGAGGUGAUUCUCUUUUAUGUGUGUGAUUUUACGCCCUAUUUCUGUGACUUUGUACUCGCUGAAAUGAGGGUUGUGGUAGUUUCUAAAAUCAAUAGGCCAUGGGUACUCAACCAAUAAGAAUAACUAUCUCACAACUUUCAAAUUAGCCCUUAUAACAUGAUUUAAGAAGAUAAGUCUGUUAAUAUUUUUUACACGUUCUCAGUUUUGGUUUCUCAAUUUGCAUAAGUUUGACAUGACCACAUCUCUGAAACAUUUCUUUUCAAUACUUCCAAUUUGUGUUGAAAUACUUGUACAUAUUAAUGCAACUUCUACUAUUGAUCUACUUUCUGCAGAACAAAAGGGAAUGCACUAAUUAAGAUGUUCAACGAUCCUCUUUGUCCUCAACCAAUCAAUGUUGCAAUAUUUGUGAAGAAGGUAUUGUCUAUUGUUUGGUCUGGAAUCGCAUUUUUUCACUCCCACUGCAUGUUGAUAGUAUGUUUAUAUGCAAUUCCAAUUUUUUGAUACUGCAGGUUGUUUCCUACUUUGAAGUGGAUCAGCCUAGUAAGGUUACUUAUGCAUGUGGUCAUGUCAUUGUUUUUGUUGCUUCACAGGUACAAUGUUGUUCAUACUUCCCUUUUUUUUUUUACUCCUUAAUUGUCAGCACAAAGGGGUUGUCUGUGGGGUUUGGAAUGGGGGAGAAUUAUCUGCAGUGUCUAAUAUUAAGCAGGAUUUCAUGAUUUCUUGGAUCAUUUGAAGUUAAUAACAUUGCAGUAAUUGGAGAAGUAGAUAUUAGGUCAUCAUUCAUGUCAUUUUAUACAAACACACAAUGUAUGUAUUUACAAAAGAAGUCUAUUUGGUAUCAUACAGGAUGUAGACACCAUUUAGGGAAGUUAUAUCCAUAUACUGGCAUUGCUGGUUGGGGUACUAAAGCAUUGACUCAAGAGUCAAUCCCCAAUUGUUUAGUCUGAAAAUACCUGUUAGGUCAUUGGUUAGGUUGGUGGGUAGCCCUCCCAAGCUGCUGCCCUUGUACACAACAUAAUUAUGUAUAUUAUUUAAAUGUGUCAUGCCUAUGAAAAAGCAUAUAUGUUAUCUAAAUGUGUCUCAUACCACUGGUGUUCUUGGGUUUAUUCUAAUGAGUUGCAUGUAUCUUUAAUUUAUGAAUCAGGUUCCAUAUGCAAUGGAUCUUCUUCUUGCUGAAUUACAUCGAGUUUGCAUAUAUACUGUGCCAAAGCAUAUAGAUUACUCAAAGGUGACUCAAAUUUUUAACUCUCACCAGCCAUUCUUCAUUAAUGCUCUGUGGUGACAUGCCAUCUGAGGGAACAAUUUAUUGUGCCUUGGAUAUUAAUUGAAUUUGACAAAACUUGCCUCCUGGAAUAUCCUUAUUUUUCCAUGAUCAGUUAACCCUUGCAUGGACAAGCCAUGCAAAGUGAAGGUUCAGAAAGAUUUAGAUGGGUGUCAUGCUUUUUAUUGUUACUGGUGUCACUGCUUGCAUAGAUUCUAAAACCUUUCUUACUUCUUCAGUCAGCAUUCAAAUCGAAAGAGGAUUACUACAAAAUGAUUGGCUAUCGAGAAGAAAAUGGGAAAAUUGAAAGAACUGAAGAUUAUUUGAAACGACUGGCAUGUUACAUGAAAUUAUAUGCGGCACUGGUUCAGGUUUUGUUACUAUCAUACUAUGCACUGAAUGAAUUUGAGGGCCCUAGUUUUCUCUAUGCUGAAACUGAAUUUUAUUUUUUAUAAUCUACUUUCUCCAUCAUGAGAUUUGUUGUCCCACUUACUCCAUGUAUCUUUUAACUUUUUAAAACCCUAGCAGGAGAUUAAGAUGGUUUGUUUUGGCAGACUGAAGCUGAUGGUGUUAAAAACCCACAUGGUCUAAAGGAAGGUUGGGCAUGGCUGGCAAGGUUCUUAAAUGCUCUCCCUGCCAAUGUAUAUACCGCAGUUGCGCUUGAGGUGUUCCUGCAAGUAAGCCAACAUAGAAACUUAUUAUAGUUUAGCCAUUUGAACUGAUUUUCAAAUACCACAGAAUUAAAAGAUUUCUGCAUUCUCCAGGUGGCGGGCUUUGCUCUCUUUCGAAAGUACAGAUCUCAGUUCAGGAAGAUACUAAAGGUCAUCUCUGGCAACUUUCUGGUUGCACUCAAAGCACAAGGAGAGAAAGUAAAAGAACCGAAGUUGAAGCAAGUCAUUGGAAAUAUUCAGUACUAUGUGGAAAAAAACGAGUUCCUUCAGGAACCAGAAGGAUGGAGGAUGCAGGGUUCUUUAUUAUCGGGUUCUAUGGCGCCUGAGCUAGACUACCCAGAUUCCUAUCAUCAUCCAUCGAAUUACUCAGGUUCCUAUCAUUAUUCAUCAUACUACUGAUGACUAACAGCUAAAAUUAAAUUAUAGCUUUUUUUUUACAAAAAAGGGAAUUUCCAAUGUAUUGGAUUUGUAUGAAGAGCAAGUCACCCAGUGCAAAUGACAUACUACUAAACAAAAAGACAGUAAACCAAGGAAUACGGAAGAAAGGAAAUCAAAUUUGAAUCUCCAGCAAUGAAUAAAUUGUGCUCCAGUAUAAUUGUUGUUCAUUAACUUUCUUUAUUGAACUGGAAUUAAACUGUCUGUUCGUUUAAUGUAAGGAUUGAGCUGAAUACUAGAAUACUACUGUUUAUUUUUUAGCUAUCGUAAGUAUUUAUAACUUUACCACCCCACAUCUAUACAUCAAGGAGGCGUGCUGCAUUUAAUAAUCCAAAACCUUAAUGCGUUAUUGUACAUCAAAUUCAAAACAAUGCAAACAAAUUUGUACUAUACACACACUGCAAACUAUCGUCAUUUCAAAGAGGGGGAAAAACGGCUUCAAUACAAACCAAUAAAAGAAUGAACAAAAAAAAAAUAUAAAAAGCCUCUGUCCACGCGCAAAAUGCAAUCCAAUCCAAACAGUCUUCUCCUAAUGAAGGAUGUAAUUGUAUGGGGGAUCCUCGGUCUUCUGAAGGUCAUGGUUGAUAAAUCUCUGAGGAAUUUCUCCUUCCAUCGAGGCAUGGCGUUUCAUAUAUAUAUAUAUAUAUAUAUACAAAGCUAGUAGUGCUACAGUAACUCUUCAGUAGGAGUUCAUGUCCCAGGCCAAAAUGCACCUUCACCAAGAUGCAAAACAUCCCUGUAAAUCACAGAAAAAGUUAACCUAUAUCUAUUUAAUAAAUUUUAAUUUUUCAAAACAAAAAGUAAUAAUAGUAAUAAUAGCAAAUGAAUAACUGUGGCAUUGCAGACCUUGCCUUUGGCAUUUGGCGAGCAUUUGCCAAGACAAAUAGAGUUCCAAUCUGAGAGCAGGGGGAUCUAAGGACAUGAACACAAUAGCUUAUUGAUACAGCUUUAUUCUAGUCUGGAUCGGGCUUCGGCAAAUGGGGCAUGAAUUGAGGUCUACUCCACACUCACAGCAAGUCUGUCAGUUUAAAGAAAAGGAAAAUUUCUAGGUGGUCAGCAUAGUGUCAUCCUUGGACCUCAGGGCAUGAAGAAAUAGUUAACACAUGGAAAGUGGUUUACCUGAUGACCACAACCAAAAGCCAUAUCCUUUGGAUUACUGAGACAAAUGGGGCAAACCUGUCCAAGUUCAAACCAAAUAAGUAAUUGAUAAAGAGAAAGAUCACUUCUCUUCAAAUAGAUUCAAAUGACAGCUACAUAGAUUUGGUUACUGUCUUACUGAUAACCACAUGAAGUAGAUAAGAGAAAAUGAAGCAUAGCCAUAUUUGGGGAGCAACUCUAUAUACCUUGUUAUCAUAAAGAGAAUUAGAAGAUGGGCCUGUGCUGACUGCUGCCUCAUAUUCAGGAUAAGACUCAGCGCUUUUUUGGAAACUGUUCGAGUGGUAAGGUUUUGAGCUGCUGCUGAAAGAAGGUGUUCCAUACUGGGGUGGGGGGAGAGCAACCCUAGUAGGAGCAUUCCCUCUCCUUACACUGCUUGAUGAAUAAACAGAAAAUAUAGCCAGUUAGAUUUGAAUAAAUAAGAGCCUGCAGAAACAUCAAAAAACAAGAUUCAAUCAUUACCCCAGUGUAUUGAGAUCAAUAGUUGCUUUAUAUUGGGAAGGAAUUUCCAUCAAGGCUGCAAGAGCAAACUCUGUCUGUGUUCUCGAUGAAUCAACAUUCUUUGACAUAAUUUCUGUAAAAUUCACGAACUAACAAGACAAAGCAAAACAGUCCUUCCGAAUUUAGUAUGUUUGAAUAUAGGAACAUGGCACCUAGUAUGUACAUGACAAUGACAAUGACAAUCCCUUACCUGGAAAUUAUCGAAGGCACGAGCAGGGAUGUUGUCAUCGAACUCCCUCAUCACAUCCCAAGGCCCAUCUCCAACCCCAACCAAAAUUAUUGACAAGGGGUACUUACUGCAAUUAAAACAAGCGUAUAAGAAUGUGGAUUGACAAUCAAAAGCAAACGAGUUAUGAAUACCUACCUUGCUUUUACAAUUGCGUCGAUCGUCUUUUGCUCUUGAGAGCUGAGCUGGCCAUGCUGUGUAUCAACGCUUCGUGUCACCUAAGGCAGCAGAAAACCUCAGUCAGUCACAACUCCAUGUUGCAGCCAAGGAUGGACACACAAUUAUUGUUCUCUAGUAUCGAAAGAUGUAUAUUUUUAACUGGCAAGGGGGACAGAGUUGGGGGAUUUGUUAUUAAAGAAGACCAUCAAAUGCUCUUAUGAACAUAGUUUUUAUUUUUGUUCCUGACAUCUAAUUUGAACAGAGUUGAAAUGAACUAUAUAUUUUAUGAUGCUUGCAAAACCUAUAUAGAUAAAAUUUGGUCCAGAACUGAAUUACCUGUCCAUCAGCGAUUAUCAGCAAAACAUGGUAUUGGCCACCACUUUUCUCAACAAUGGUCGAGGCCAUUUCAAUGAUGGGUGCAAAAGAGGUGGGUCCUGCAAUAAGAAAAACAAACCUUUGCUGUAAGAACUAACUGCUAAAUUUCCAAAGCACCAUAUCCAAUGAAUAGCCAAGUAGAUAGAAUCAAUAUAAGCAGAACCUGCAAGUCGAAGGCUGGGAACCAAUUCUCUGUAUCUCAUCAGUACUUCUUCAAAUCCAUUGCAGGGCCUCUCGUCCUGGUAGAAACUGAAGAUGUCUUGAUCGUGUGUUGAGGCUGCAAUGAGACGUGAGAAAAAAUUGAUUUCCAAUUUUCCACAAUUGUGAUGGUAAACUCUACAUAAAUGAGUUAAGAUGAUGCUCUAAAUGAGAUUACCAUCUCCAAAUCCAAAGCAGGGAAUCAAGUUAUCCUCAUCAAAUGCAGAUAAGGUCUUCCCAAUAAUACUUAUUGCUUGCUCAUAUGGAUUUUGACCCCUUCCAAUGUGAUGUAAGCUCUUCCUAUUGAAUGACCUGGAACCUGAUUUCCAACAAAAUUCAGCAAUUUCCAUGAUAAGGCAAUUGAAGAAGUUGUAACUUACAAGAAUGCAGAUGGGAUCGAACCUGUCCACUCAUUACUCUUGGUGAAGUCAAUACCAACAAUGAGGUUAGAAGACUCAAGGCCAGCUUGAGCAAGAGCAGCAGUAACCUGUGGGUGAUCAUCUUCAUUACUUAUAUAGAAUGAUGAAUAGCUAAAGCUUAUUAUGAAGGUAAAAGAUAAGUUGAAUUUCCUACAGUAGGAUGUGUAGGCAUAUCACAAAACAAGGUCAGAGCUUGAAGGAGGCAAGGACAUCAUACAAAGAGAAGCUUAAAAAUUCGUGGAGGAGAAGAAGAAAGUGAGAAUUGCCAAGUUCAAUCAACUUGUUUUGUUUGUACUUCCCAUGGUUAGACACACACUCCACCUUCUUUUUCAAAUAAAAAUAAUUAUGAAAUAUUUCUUCAUGGUAUUUGUCUUUGAAAAGGAAGAAAAUGAGAUGAAAUAGAGAAGAAAACGAGGAAGAAGGGAAUCAUUGAUAAGGGGAAGAAAAGAACAAUAUGGUCAUUGCACUUCUCUUUUUUUUUCUUUUUUCUUUUUUAUAUCAAAAACGGUGGGUAUAGAGAGUACAAGUACAACUUCCCUUGCUCUUCUUACAAAAUUGCGCUUCCUGUGAAAUGACGAAAUCACCGGCUGACAAAUUCUUUCAUCCUUUCUUCUUAGUCCCUUCUCAUCAUUUUUAGUUUGAAAACCCUUAACACAUUAUAUAUAUAUAUAUAUAAAGGAAAAACGAGAAAAGGUAAAGAGGGGACAGAAGGUUGUGAUUGGCGCUCUCAUGCUGCUACGCUAUGGGAGGUGGAACGGCCGCUCCCGACAGGAUGGCAACAGGAUGGGUUCUAUCCCAUUAAAAAAAAUUAAAUGGGUCGAGUCCAAUUCGUUUAAUUUUUUUCAAAAAAAAAAAAAAAAAUCUUUUUUUAAAUUUUCAAUUACAUUAAAAUAAAUAUAUUUUAUAAAUAAUUAAAAUAUUAUAAUUUUUUAUAACUUAUUUUAUUAAAAAAAUUAUUAUAAUUAUUAUAAUACUAAAAAAUAAAAAUAAAAAUAAAAAUUAAAUUAAUUUUAUAUAUAAUUUAAAUGGAAUGGAAUAAGGUAAUAUUUAAAUAAAUUUUGACUCAUUUUAGAUUUUUAAAAAAAUCUUAAAUUCAUUAUAAUCAGUUUAUUUAAAUUUCAAAUCUGUCCCAUUAAAGGUAUGACGGGAUGAGUAUAUGAAAAAACUCACUACACUGUCAUUCAUAUUCCUUCGUUAUCCAUCAAUUUUUUAAAAAAAAUACAUAAUAGUUUUAUUUUUAUUUUUUUAUCAUUAGUAAAGAGAAAUUGUUUCAAAAUCAAUAUUCCAACAUACCUCGAUUCUCUCAAAUUGUUUUUCAUUAGUAAAAAAAAGGGUAAGGAAUUGCAUAAUAGUUUGAGAAUAAGAAAGUUAAAACAAAUGAAACUAUGUACUUAUGUAAAGUUUAAGAUUAAGAAAAAAAGAUGGAUAGAUUAAAAAAGGGUGUUAUCAAAAUUUAUUGAAAUGAUGGUUUAUGUUAAGAAAGAAAAUAAAUCAGGACACUUGUCCUUCAAGAUUUUUAUAGCGUAAAGGAUGCGAAACCAAAUACGUGUUUAAGAUGAAAAAUCCAAAAUUUGAUAUAUAAUUAAUAUCAAAUAGUAAAAUAUUUAACUCAAUUAUCAAAUCAUAUUUAAAAUAUCCUUUAUGGAUUCCCACACGAAAAUGAAAUCAAAUCGACUUUUAAAAAAACAUAUCUAAACAUAAAAAACACAUUUCAUAAGCUAUUUGAAAUUUGUUUUUAAAUAUUUUUCUAAUUUUUAUAUUAAAAUUAUUUUAAAUCAUAAGCUAUUUCAAUAAAAUCAACCGAUAAAAGAAUUAAAGGAAAAAGAAAAAAAAGGUAUACGUAAAUAGUUUGCUUCCAUUUUUAUGUCAACAUAUUAAUAAUAGGGUAAUUUGAUUAAAAGGGUCUCUCAAAAUUUAAUUUUUGAAAUUUAAUCGAUUUUUUUUUUGACAUCAUUUAAACAAAAAUGUUCUUAUUAUUUUCUUGUGAAAUUAAUUAUUUUUUUAAAACUUAUGUAUAAAUAUUUAAAAUAAAAAAUAUCAUUUAAGUAAAAAUGGGUUACUUUUUUUUAUAAAAAAAUGAAAAUGAUUAUUACCAGUUUGGUUGUUAUUUUUGAAAACUGUUUUAAAAAACAGUUUUUGUUAAAAUAGUUUUCAAAAAAAGUUUUUUGAAAAAUGAAAAACAAUCAAUUCGGUGAAAAACAAUGAAAAUAUUUUUUUAUUGUUAUAAAAAAAAAGUGGUUUUUGAGAACAGAAAAAACACAAAAAAACAAAAAUAAAAUCCCUUUUCCUAACAAGAUUUCUGUGUUUUCUGUUUUCAAGAACAAAAAAUAGUUCUUAAAAACAGGAAGUAACAUUGCCUUAGAUUUCUAACAAGCGGAUUAUUUCACCCCAAUUAACCAAAUAUUUCUUAAUAAUAAUAAGAGAAGGCGUAUAGGUCUAACCUGAUCCAAGCUAUUAUAAUUAUCAGCUAUCCUGGAGUAACGCCGGUCCAAUUGGGGGUGCCGGUGAGGAGUUUGAGCACCGCUGUAGUAGCGAGGUGGAGGAGGGCUGUGGUGCUGCGGCGUGUGGUAUGGCUGGGCUGGAUAGGCCUCCUCAUAAGGCUGUGACUGUGAGUAACCAUGGUGGUUGAAUGAAGACGAUUCAAACGAUGGAUAUUCUCUCCCACUCCGCCGUUUCGAACUUUUCCCUCCCAUCACCUAUGCAAUCUCUGCACAACUCCUUCCCAAUUCCACACACCUCAAUAUUAACUCACUCUAUCAAUCAAAACCACUUGGAUGAUCUCCCCUGCACUCCAAAUCAAAUCGAAUUUCAAUACACCGAUUACAGGAAUUCAAAAGAAAAAUGUAUGUGGAGUAAAUUUGAUUGUCAUAAAAUACCAAAAUUCGAAAAGUUUCUCGGAUUUCUGUAGAAUAUAUGACUCGGGAAAUUGGGGAAGAUGAAGAAUUACACAGAUGUAUAUAAACGGAGUGAGGGAGAUAUCAGCAUGGAAUGGUUGACAGCUGAAUUAGGAUUCAAGCGGAAAAUUUCCAGGAAGAAAACUGAAUAUGAAAACAAAGACUAAUAAUAAAAGAGGCGGCGUAGUUGUCUAGCUGACCCAUUCAAUGACUGCCGACCUUCUGAGAAACGUUGACCAGUGGAUUGUUCAUAGAAAGAAAGCUAUUGAAGAAGAUGUUACAGAAUUAUUAGGGCUGGCCAAGUGGCUUCCCAGCACGCAAUGCCUUUGUUUGUUUUGCUAAAGAUUAGUAAAAACGUGAAUCAUAUAGGUAACCUAAUGCGCAAGAAAAGCUGAAUAGGGCUGGUCAACCACAACUCUUCCGAUUUUCAGCAUCUGUAUUCAUAUAAUAAUGAUGAUGAUGAUGAUAAUACAGAGAUUAAUAAUAAUCAAAUAGUAGCAAAGCCAAAUGAAAUCACGGAACGGCGAGCCUGGAUACUAAAGCAAAAGCCAUUGUUUUGUUGCUGACAUCGCAUCAACUGUAUCCGCUCCGUUUGGUUACCGGGAAACGGAAGGAAAAUGUUAAAAGAAAGCAAGCGAAAAUCUGGCGGGCACGACCUCAAAAUCAGUGCUUUUGGGAAGCUUCCUUGAGUGGAGCUGAACCCUCCUUGCCAGGGUUUCACUGCUUUUUAAAAAUGUUUCAUAAUUGAGCUUUUGAUCUAAUAAUAUCUUUUUCUUUUUCGAACGGAUCGAGUUGGAGUCGAGUCAUUUGAAAUGAAAAAAGAGGGAUGCCCGGAGAAUGCCCCGUCACGGCACCGGCCCACCACCGAAUCUUCUGGGAACAGUACUUGUGAUGGCUCUGUCUGUUUCUCCUCGUAUGUUCACAUCACGUGGGGUAGGUAGAGUAGAGUCGUGGAAUCGGUACAUUAUAUUGGAUGAUACUUUUCCAUCAGCAAUCAAUAUUAUAAGACUUUAGACCUACCACAUCACUUUCCAUAUAAACGAAUGAUAUAUAAGUUUUUGUUGUUUACAAGAUUUUUUAUAAGAGUAUGAUAGUUUUAAAAAAUAAUUUCAAAAUUAUCGUAAGAAAAAUAAUUUCAAAUCUUGUCCAAGGAGAGUGGAAAUAAAUUAAAAUUGAAAAAUCGUCAUGAUUUUAAAAAUAAAAAAUAAAAAAAUAAUACCAAGUGAGAAAUUGUCUCGAGACGAUUUUCAAAAAAUAAAAAAUAAAAAAUUUAAAAGACAAUUUCAAAAAAAAUAUAAAAAAAAUAAAAUCAAGUAACUCAUAUCAAGACAAUUUAAAAAAAAAACAAAAAAAAAAAGAAAUAGUAAAUCGCCUUCAAGAGAUGAUUUAAAAAAAUAAAAAUAAAACUAAGUGAUAAAUCAUCUCUUCAAGGAUGAUUUUCAUAAGAAAAAAAUAUAUAUAUGAGACUCACUUAAAAAAAAACUACCACAGUAAUUUAAGAAUUAUUUUUUAAAAGUAUUGUACUCUUAUAAAAAAUCCACUAUUUUUUAAUAUCUUUAUUUUUUGUUAUUUUGUUCAAUGACUCAAGUUUCAAUAUAUAUUUUCCAUGACCUAAAUUUCCAUGUGUCACAUGUACCAAUUUUAAUAUGUUAGUAUUUUGUUUUCUAAAAUAUUUGUUAAGAAAACUUAACUAAAUGAAUUUUCUUAAUACACCAAAAUGGAUCAUGUCAACGCUGUACGUGAUAGAAUUAGAUUUUAUUUUAUUAUUACUUUUUUGUUUUUCAAAAUAAAAAAAUAAGAAACAUGUUUGAUAAUUAAAAAAUAUAAAAAUAAUUUUUUAUUCUUAAAACCAAAAAAUUGAAAGUGUUUUCCAAGAAUAAUAGUUGUUUUAAGUUGUUUUCUAAAAUCCGUUCCAAGAAAUAAUUAUAUAUAUGGAAAAUAGAAAAAAAUAUUUUUAAAAACAUAUUUAUUAGAAAAUAAGUUGAGAAUAUUUUAAUUCAUAAAUCAACUUUUAUUUUAUAAAACAUCAUAAAAUAAUUUUUAGUAACUCUUCUUAAAAAUAUUGUUUUUAAAAUCAUUUUAAAAAACGUUUCCAAAUUACACAUUGGCUUCACAUUAGUAUUUCUGCAAUUUUUUUUUAAAUUCUUUAAUGUAAUGUGAAUUUCAAAAAUAAUAUUUGAAUACUCCAUAAAAUUGAAUUAUUGAAUUGUUGUGAACAUAUUUUUUAAUUAAAAAAAAUAAUGUUAAAAAUUUAAUUAAUUUUUAAAAUUUUCAUAUGAGAACUAAUUUUUUAUUUUAAAAAAAAUUAUUGUAUGAUUUAAAAAUCAUUUUUUGAAUAUUUUUAUUCUUUGCAAUAAGUGUUUUAAUUUUUCUAUUUUAACUUAAUUUAAAUAAAUAUAUUUAUGUUAAUAAAUUUAUUUUUACAUCUUAAGACGAGUGAUAUGAAAUUGUGAAAUCUUAGCGAAGGAAAGCCACGUGUCUCUCAAAAUAAAACAGAAAGAGAGCCAUGCCUGCAUGCAGAAGUGGGAACGAUACAAAGGGGCUGGUGGGGCCAUUUUGCAAAUCACUGGGUCUACUCAGCCUGCCGUACUGCACCGACGCAUCCUCUGGCCUUGUGAACUUGUAAAGGGUUUCUGCAACAUUUCCUUCCUUAGAGAUCACAAACUUGCUCUUGCUUCGUUGGGUCAGGAACGGACUGAACAUUGAAUACAAGAUGCUGAAGUACCAGGGGACGUUGAUGAAAAUCUUCCGGGCAACCAUUUCUGGAUAAUUAUCUUGGAAGAGAGGAGGAUCUGGUUGGAAGAGACCCUGAGCUCUCUUUUGGGCAUGUCUUUGAGAUCAGUCACCUGAAUGAUGGAGUUAACACCACCGGGCUUGAAAUGCAGAAGUUUGAUGCCUCUCUCGAGGACUAGUACUUGAACUCUCCACCUCAGGAACUUCUUGAGCUUCUCUUCGUCCCCGAAGAUUCCCUCGUACAUAUCCUUGUCUUUGAAAACCCCAUAGGCGUUGUAGCAAACUGGGUGUUCUUCUCUGUCGUACCCGUGCAUGUAAGCCACGACACCUUCGAGCUCCUUAAACCCCAGGUCCUCCUCAGCGACGUCAUCCGCUCUGAACUCUUUUCUCCAAGCCAAGCACUUCUCCAGCAUGUGAAAGGAGUCGGCGACCCUGAAGUCUCUGGCUCGCGGAAACUUCAAUAGUAUGACAUCGGCUCUCUCGUCUCCACCCAAGAGAGGAAUGCCUCACAUGGAGUCGGACCCAUGAGAGGCCACGAGCUUGUCUUUGAACUCCUGCAGUGCCUUCUCUGAAGACUUGAGGCGGGACACGAAGUAGGUGUCCUCCUUGAAGGAAGGAGAGCGAAGGGUAGCGGCCUCCAUCAACGAGGUCACAAAGCUUUUCCUGAAAGGCCUGGAGGACGCUUCCGGCUGGUCUUGUUGAGGAGUUUGUUGCAUUGAGAUGGGUGAGGAAGCUUCCAUGAAUGGAUUCUGAGCAAGACCCAGAUGGAAUCUUAUGGGGAUCAAUUACAUGCUGGAAAAGGUUUCAAACUCAGCAACGACAUAAGAACACUCCACUGAUAUCACGGAUCAAAACUCUUCAAACGAGCUCUUCUCUAGCUGUUCCCAGACACUCUCUACAGCUAGCUCACCCCAAAAAGUCUCCCCCCUCCCCCUGCUCCUCUCUGGCUAAAAUCCUGUGCUGAAAGCCAUCCCCCCCCCCCCCCUUUUAUAGAGCUCCUCUAGCCCGAAGACAUUGCCUAGCUCAUCAUCCUCUCUGAAGCUCCCUGUUCCAGCGAUCCUCCACCAGCUCCAUUGCUUCAACCACCACCAUGGCAAGGUGGUCACAUCCUUGCCACAUGUCUCAUGCAUGCAGCUCACCUGUGGAAGCCGUCCCCUACUUCAACAACAUGCUAUCCAGCUCCUCCCGGUAAGAAAAUAUCCAUGAAAUGCUACUAAUAAAAGCAAUAAAAAUAAAUAAAUAAAUAAACCAAUAGUCCUUCGUCUGCAAAAGGGGUCUACAAUUAAGCUUUUUCAUCUUCCUCUAGCCCUAUCCCAGGUACAACGUUUGAGAACCAUUUCUUAUGAAUUCAUAUUGUUACAUCUAUAUUUUUUAAUAACUCAUUUAUCAUAAUAUUAAAUGGUGAAUAAUUAAUUUCAAAUAUAUAUAUAAAAAAUUCUUUUACAUAAUAAAAUAUUUAAUAUAUAUAAAAUUUAAUAUUUAUCCUAAGUUUAAAGUUGAUAUUUUAUUAAUUAUUUAAGAAUAUAUUAAAUAACUUAAAAUAUUAACAAACAAAAUACUUUAAGAAGUGUUGGCACCUAUAAGAGCUGCGGUAGUAGCAUGGUGCAUUAAGGUAAGUUGGUCUUGUUUUGCACUCAAGUAACCGAUAUUUUGCUUUUGUAGUGUAUUCAAAGAGAAGCAAUUUGUAAGACCUUUUAUUCAAUGAUUUUAGCAAGUUCAACAAUAGUCGAAGUCACUUCAUCCGAUUGUAUUUCUAGUAAGUCGUUUAUCGCCAUGAUCACAUAACCUUAAAGUAAAGGAAAGUAUAAGAGCUUGAACACCUUGAGAAAGCUUCAAUUCACAUUAAUGGUUCUGGUUGAUGAACCAAAUUUUGAGCCUAUGCUUGAGUUAGCAUUCAUUAUUCCUUCAAUUAUCAUAUAGAAAAUGUAAUGGCAUUUUCGAGUGUGAAGGAAAAACUUGUCUCCUUGCCUCGACAGAAGAUAGACUAAUGAUUGAUUGAUGUUUCUUAUACCCUUUCAUAAAUAUUGUGAAGAAAAAGAAAAUAAUUAAUAAUUUUAAUAAAAAUAUGAUUAAAAUCAUAAUAGUAGUUUUUAUAAUUUUCCUUAAUUUUAUAUAUUAUUUUUAAUUUUUAGGUUUUUAUAUAUUGUAAUUCUUUUUAUUAUUAGAGUGAAUAUUCAAUUAUUACUAAUGAAUUGUACUUCUAAUUUAUUAAAUAUUAUUUUUUUUACUAUUAAAGUUGUCUCUUGAAGUAAAAUACCACCAUUUUUAUUAUUUAAAUAGAUAACCUGAGUUUAGCCCAAAUCAUCUCCAUCCUAUUUUGAUUAUUUAAAUCAAAUAUAAUUUUUAUAUUUAUAAAAAUAAAUAAAUAUUUUUAUAUGUAUUAAAAAGAAAAAUUAAAUUAAAUUAUUUUUAUUUAAUUUUCUAUAUAGGUUUAUAUGUACAUGAAACAUAAUGACAGUAGUAUGUCUUUAUAUAAAAAGGAUUUUAAAAACGUUUCUAGUAUUUUUAAUACUUAAAUGAUUUAAAUUUUAAAGUAUUAAAAUGUUUGGAAACACUUCUUAAAAUUACUAUUAAACAGGCUUAAAGUCAUGAUUAUCCGUGGGUCUGUGUAUUUAAGAAGUGAAGAAGCAACGAUGUUUGAUUGAGCCUUAAAUGGACAUGCCCACAAUUUUAGUAUGUUAUUACAUAACUUAUUGAUAAAGUUAUUCAUAAAGUUAUAAAACUCCAUUCUCCUUACAAAUUAAUGAUAUAAUAUAGAAAUUUAAAGUACCAAACAAACCCUAUCCAUCAAUUUCAAAAAAAUAUUUUAUUAUUUUUAAUUUAAGUCAAAAAAUUACAAAUAAGAUAUGAUGUCUCAUGUCAAAUAAAAAAUAAAAUUCUUAAUUAUGAACUUUUUUUUAAUCAUAUGGACACGUUUUAAAACAUCCUUUUAGGUUCGCAAUAGACUAUAUACGAUUCAUACGGUACGAAAUAUUGUUGCCAUAAAAAAUUCUCUUAUUCAAAUUGUCCAACUAUCACUCAAAGUGGAUACUUAUUCAUAAUCUGCCUCGUAAUUGUUGAUGUAAUUUCCAAAAAUUAUCAUUAGAAGUGGGUCUACCAAAUCGACGGUGAGGAUGGCUUCAGGAAAACGGUGGAUGCACGGUCCGUCUGCGUGUCCCGUACUCCACACUCUAAACAUCCCAAUCAAUCAAUCCUCAGCCGGGCUGUCCACUUCUCUUCACAGCCCCGGCAACCUCAUCACCGCCGUCCAUUUAGAUUACCAACCAACAAUCCACCACGUCGCAGACGAUCGUAACAUCAAUUUUUGUGAUUUAUUUUUUAUAUUUUUAAAAACUCAAGAACGACGGGAGAAACAGAGAGACUGGUUGGUAGCUAUCGCUCCUCUCCUCUGUUGUCUUUCUCAAGGUACGAUCUUGUUCGCCGUUUUCUCUCGCAAGAAGCAGCAAUUAUUUUUAUCAAAUUUCAUGUUUUAGGCCGUUUCAAUUAUCACUAAAUCAUACUUCUAGCUUCGACUUCCCAAUCAUCUUUCUAUUUUCUUUACUCGAUUGCAAGUAAUCACUAUUUUUGAAUUCUAGGGUUUUGUUUUUUUUUUUAUAUUUUCUAUAAUAAGAGAAGAGGAUAGAGAUCAAAAUUAAUUAUCAGAACGAUUAGGUUUGGUUUUUCUUGUUUUCAAUUGUGAAAUUACCAAUGGUGGACCGCGAAAUGGAGGUGUGCUUAAUCUCUUGGUAGUAGUGAUUGGUGGUGAGAAAUGACGAGCGCCGGUGAGGAAGACGCCGAUGCCGUGUUGAGCGAUGUGGAAGGUGACGAUCCGGUGCCUGUGCCGAUCGUCAUCAAGAAUCCGUCUCAGGAGGAUGUAUCCGUGGAGAGAUUUCGAGAGCUUCUUGCCGAGGUGGAUCGAGAGCGGCAAGCUCGGGAGGCAGCGGAGAAUUCGAAAUCGGAAUUGCUAGUGGCCUUUAAUCGGUUAAAGAGUCUUGCUCAUGAGGCAAUUAAGAAGCGAGAUGAGAGCACGAGGCAACGGGAUGAGGCAUUGCGUGAAAAGGAAGAAGUUUUGAGAUCAAAUGAUAAAGUUUCGGGGGAAUUGGCGGAAGCAAUCAAAUUGAAAGAUGAGGUUCUGAAGCAGAGGGAUGAGAUUGCUAAGCAAUUGGAUGAGGCGGUGAAGGCAAGGGAAGCCUCGCGAUCUGAGAUUGAAACUUCAGCACAAAUGCUUGUGACUGGAAUUGAGAAGAUUUCAGGAAAGGUGAGUAAUUUCAAGAAUUUCACAGCAGGGGGAUUGCCAAGGUCUCAGAAGUACACUGGAUUGCCUGCCAUUGCUUAUGGAGUUAUUAAGAGGACAAAUGAAAUAGUUGAAGAACUUGUUAGACAGAUGGAUGCAACAACUAAGUCCAGGAAUGAUGCUCGUGAACAGAUGGAGCAUAGAAAUUAUGAGAUUGCUAUUGAAGUGUCUCAGCUUGAAGCAACCAUUAGUGGGCUGAGAGAAGAAGUUUCGAAGAAAACUUCUGUUGUUGAGAAUGUGGAGAAAUCUAUGGCUGAGAAGGAUGCAAAGAUAUCAGAUAUGGAAAGAGAGAUGUCAGAGAAGAUUCAACUGGCAGAAAAUGAAAUGUCUGAACUUAAACAAAUAGUCAGUGAGUAUGAUCUUAAGUUGGGGAAUUUGGAAUCAAUAAUGGAGUCACAGAGGCAUCUAUUGUUUGACCAGUUAAAUUUGGUAUCCAAAAUUCAUGACCGAAUUUAUGAUGUCAUCAGGAUUGUUGAUGACAAUAAAUUGGAUCAGUCAGAGGUCUCUGAGUCUUUGUUUCUUCCACAAGCAACGGACAUGGAGGAGAACAUCCGUGCUUCUUUAGCAGGCAUGGAAUCUAUUUAUGAGUUAACCAGAAUUGUUGGAGAAAAAAUAAGGAAUUUAAUGGAGGAUCAGAGUCGUGAAGCAAAGAGUUUAAAUGAAACGGUGACCCGAUUAGUUAAGGAGAAAGAACAAAUCGGAUCUUUCCUGAGAAGUGCUUUGUCAAGAAGGAUGGCAUUAGAUCCAUCAUCCAAAAUGAAAGAGUUGUUUCAAGUUGCAGAAAAUGGUUUAAGAGAGGCUGGGAUAGAAUUCAAAUUUAGCAAUCUUCUUGAGGAUGGGAAGGUUAUGGCGUCUCAUGAUAAAGCUGGUGUUUUGGAAACAGAGGAGGAUGAACUAUACAAUAUGGUAAGCACUUAUCCUGGAUACGUGUUUCAAAAUCCCCUUUUUACUGUGCUUAUCUAUACUUUUUUGUACAGACUGGUGCUUUGGAGCAUAUUGUUAAGGCAUCUCAGCUUGAGAUCAUUGAACUGCAGCAUUCAGUAGAUGAAUUAAGGUACUUAAUUAUCUUUCUAGAGCUCACUUAACUGCAAACAAACAGAUAUGCUUAUUUUAUUCCCUUAUGUUGAACUAUCAAUUUUUCUAAAAGAUUAAGCUUGUAGGAUUUGGGUCCAUAAUGUAUGUCAUGUACUCUAACACCCAUCCUCACACAUGUAGCCUCCAUUUAUGUGGGCUUAAUAAAUUGGUUAAAUAAACAUACGGUGGUGAGGUCUGAACACUUGACCUACAAAACAAGGUUUUGAUACCAUGUUGAACUAUCAAUUUUCCUAAAAGCUUAAGCUUGUAGGAUUUGAAUCCACAAUGUAAACCAUGCACUCUAACACCUUAAACUCUCUUUGAAUUAUGAUUCAGACAGCUCAUUUCAUUUCUAUUGUUUCUUCUGCUGCAUUCCAUCUGUUUGUCCUCCAUUCCCUUUUGCUUGUUUUCUGUUGUGAUUUUUUCUGUGAAAGAGAGAAGAGAAAGAGGAGGUGGCUGCAACUGGAUUUAGUAAGAAUCUGUUGGCAGUUCCAUGGUGUACCCUGCCAAUGUUAUUGGACAUGGAUUGAUCAGGCAUUCUUAUGUUACAUGUACUGCUUUGCUGGAUUAAGGGCAGAGUCAAGUUUACUUAAAGAGCAUAUGGAGGCUCAAGCUAAGGAGCUCAACCAUAGGCAGCGUCGCAUAGAGGAACUUGAAGAGAAGGAAAGAGUGGCAAAUGAAAGUGUAAGUUUUAUUUUUAUUUUUAUCUUUUCAAAAUUUUCCAAUUGACAGGUCUGUUAGCUAAGAAUUUUUAAGUCAUUCCAGUCACUGUUGUUGGAUUGUUAAAUAAAUCUCUGAAGAGAUAAAAAGUGUUCUAUAGCCCUCACUAUUCAUGAACUAGUCCAGUUAGAUGUGUAAUUAUGUAUGCAUUAUUGUUAAGAUUGAAAACUGACUAGAUUUAUUUAUGUUACAGGUUGAAGGGCUUAUGAUGGAUAUUGCUGCUGCUGAAGAAGAAAUUACAAGAUGGAAAGUGGCAGCAGAACAAGAAGCUGCAGCAGGCAGAGCUGUCGAACAAGAAUUUGUGUCUCAGGUAUGCUCACAAAGUUGGACAGAAAACAUUCUGGACCUUUUUUUUUGCAUGGAAUUUGAUUGGUAAUUUUGAAGUGUGAAAAAAAUACAUGAUGUAAAUGUAGUUUUAAGUUUGGCAUUUAGGAAAUUUUUUAUAAAAUGACUUCUAAUGGUUGCUAUUAAUAUAUAAUAUGUUUUUGGAGGCAUAUAUCUGCUGCAUAUACUGUUCAUGCAAUUUUGCAUUUACUAAUCACAGGCACCAUGUUAAUCAGGACUGACAUGAACUGUGGAGUCAUUCUGUUCAAGGCAUAGUUCUAAUUUUUAACUGCAGGAAUUGACUAAAAACUAAUUUGCACGUGAGAAGUCCUUGUUUUCUAUGGUUAGUUUGCCUAUGAUAAAUGCCCUUUUCCCUGGGCGUUCAUUAUAAGAAAAAUAGGCAAUGUGAAAACAGUGCCAAGGAUUGAAAUACAUCUCUUGCAAGGUUUGACUCCCAAUUGAGUAUAUGAAAUCACCAAGGAAAAGGUAAACUAAACUUCAUUGGGCAUGGGAUGCUGUUAUUUGAUUUGGUUCUGAACAUAUAAUUAGGAUGGAUUCAUUAUGUUAGAAAGUAGAGUUUAGGUACAUCCAUGCACUGUUCUAGAUUGCUGUUUUUAAGUUACUUACCUUCAUGCUUAAAUACAUACAUGCAUGGAUAUAUACAUCUAAUGUUCUAGGUUUCCAUUUUAGGGUAAGUUGAUUUAGCCUCCAUUUGGUUGUUAAUAGAAUGAAAAAAUAAAUAAAAUUGAUUCUUAUUUUUUAUUUUUACUUUCAUUUAAACAAUGUGACACAGUUGUCUUAGAGUCAGGUGGCAUUAUGGCAUUAUGGCACUGAUUACUGUGCUUAUUAUGGUACCCAUGACAGCUUGAUAUUUUACCUCAACUACUAAUCCAAUGUACUUGUUUAUAUUCCGUUGUAUUGAUGAUUACCAUUCCUACUACUCUCUCCCUUAAUUACUGUGCAUCUACCUUGGUUUUGAUUGUGUUAAAAUUCUUUUUAACCAUAAUAGUCUGCGGAUGCAAUUACCUGUAGUUAUCAGCGAUUCGUCAGGAACUCAAAGAGGCAAAGCAAGCUGUGAUGGAGUCGGAGAAAAAGCUCAAAUUCAAAGAAGAGACAGCAGCUGCUGCCAUGGAAGCUAGAGAUGCUGCUGAGAAAUCAUUGAGAUUGGCAGACUUGCGGGCAUCUAGGUUAAGGGAUAGGGUGGAGGAGCUGACUCAUCAGCUUGAGGAGUCUGAUACCAGGGAAGACUCAAGGAGGAGUCGAAAUGGGCCAAGAUAUGUAUGCUGGCCUUGGGAAUGGCUCGGGCUGAACUUUGUAGGUUUACACCAGCCUGACACAAACCAACAGAAUUCAAAUGAAAUGGAGCUUUCCGAACCUCUUCUCUGAGUAUACUCUCUCUCUCUCUCUCUCUCUUUUCUUCCUUGUGUAUUUAUGCUGUUUGACAUCAGAACAGUCAAGAAAUGGUAGUUCAUAGCAUCUUCAUUCUUCCAGGCUCCCUUAAUAGAAAAACUUUAGUGAUCUUGUUUGGCCACCAGGCAAAGUAAAUCUUUACUUUAUGGGGCUUAUUGCUUCCGUCCCAACCCGCUUUAUAUUCUCUUGCUAUUGAGUAAGAAAGGAUUCACUACCUGCUUAAGUUCCGCUUUUCAGUUCUCUUAUUUCCAUGCAUACAUAGAUUCUUAGGUAAGGAGAACUCAUGGACCGGUAUGGUCUGUCUUCAUAAUCAUUCCUUCCCCCAGGCACACUGACUGAGGCAUGUAAAUUUUUCUGGCCAUGGGUUUUGAUAAUCAUCGCAUAAGGGCAUUUCUUGCAAAUUAAUAAAUGAUCAGCCUGCAACAUUGUUACAAUGCUUGUAAUUUUUGUAAAACUAUUUUUUUUUAAAUAUUUUAUAUUUUUAUUUAAAUACGUUUUUUUAAAUGAUGUACCUAUGAGCUGAGUCCUGUCCAUUUUAUCUGAAAGACUUGUCAGGCAAUGUCAUCCGAAAUGGCGCUGAGUUAGAGUAGAAGGUGAGACUCCUGAGACAAUGAGACUGGGACUUGGCUUGCAUUGUGUGUGAGUUUAGAUACCCCACUUCCUAUCAACACAAGGACAACAUUGGACAAGAAGCAUUUGCUGAUCUGAGAAUAACCGGCUGAAACUAGACAGGAUUCUCAACAAUUACUUAUAUGGGCUGAAAUUGCAUGUUUUGCCUAAAAAUUAAGUCCAUUGAUCCAUCAAUUAAGCAUACGAUCUUUUGAGUGGUGUGACAUUCCUAGAUGGCCAAGGACCCAACCGUGGAUCAACAAGUUCCUUGAGUGAUCAGGUGACCCGGCUGCUGAAGAUGCAACUUUUGUUUUGCGCCCUUUUUUCUCUGCAGAAAGUAAGGCGCCUUUUUAAUAUAUAUAUAUAUAUUUUUUUUAACUCAUUUUAUCAUACUAUAGGCUUAAGAACUAAUUCUUUAUGAGAUGACGCUCAAUUUAAUAUUAUUUGUAUUUAAACCUUUAUAUGGGCACAAGGUUUAAGAACUACUUUUCUACAGUUUCCAAGACCUACUUUCUUCUCUGCUAAGUUCUCCAUCUCCUAAGGCAGAUAUUAAGAAAUUAGCUAGUACUAGCCCUUUCAUAUCUGUUUCCAUGUAUAUCAUAUAUUGAAGCAUAUUCUCUCAACCUGCCCCACAAUGACGGUGGCUUAAGAUGUUCUCACUCAAUCUUUGGGGUAUCAGUAAAACCUCUCCAAGGAAAAUUCUUCUGGGUGUUCUCCCAUAUGUUGGGAUCUUUCCCGAUUGCUAAAACAUCGAGUUGAAGGAACUGUGUUUUAGGAUAAACUGAGCUACUCAUUUAUAUUGAAAUGUUGCAUGGUUUCAGUUGGAAGUAUUGUGUGACUGAAGGAUAUAGCCUCAGCAUCUCUUUCAUAGUCAUCAUCUUGAGGUAGUUAAGUUGAUCAAGGUCACAUCCCAGUUCCCAAAACCUUACCUUGCUUUCCUGCACAACUUCUAACUUCAGCUUGUGUUUUCUUCAUUGUUCUUGGGUUCCUAGCAAGCUCUGCCAUUUCUCAGACCAUGGUGGGGCACUCCUGUUUUGCCCCCGCCAAAAAUCCUGAUACAUUUCUGAAAGUGGGCUGAGAAAAAUGACCUUAGUUUCACAAUUACAUGCCAAAAACAGAAACGCCCAUUUUCUUCUAAACAGCCAGAGAGGAGGUUAUUGAAAUGUUUGGUUGAUACCUCAGAGGCAUUCAGCCCUCAGUCUGGCACGUGGCUCUAGGUCUGUGGCAUUUCUUUACUACAUGGGUUACGGACGUCAUAAUGGUGAACAAGGUGGAUAACCCAGUAUCCCUACAUGGCUACAACUUGUGACAUGGACUUCGAGAGCGCGAAAGAGCUUUGACCCAAAAGACUACGUUUUUUUUUUUUUUUAAAUCCAUAAAGUACCCAUAUUUUUAAAAUAAUAUCCAAUCUAAUAUGUCCGCGCCACAUAGAUUGUCACAUCAUAAAACCGUAGUCGAUAAUUACGAUUUUAUUUUUAAAAACAGUUAAAGUCGUAAUCACCAACUACAACUUUAACUUUAAUUUUAUAUAUAUAUAUAUUUAAUUUUAAUAUUUUUUAAAAUAAAAUAUUAUAUUAUUUUGAUUUUAUAUUGAUUAAAAAUAUGUAAGUGGUGUAAUAAAAAUAUUUACCUUUAAUUGAUCUCAUUAUUUAAAGAAUAGUAAUAUAUGAAAUUAAAUAAUUGAUGUCUUUAAUUUGAUAUAAAAAUAUAUUUUGAUAAUUUUAUUAAAAUAUUUGGCACUACACUCAAUAUAAAUAUAAUUAGUUAUAAAUAUACUAUUUUAUACCCUCAUAAUGAAGAAUAUUAUAUUAUUUUGUAACUUUGUGCAAAAAUUAAAGGCAAUUAUGCACUUGUAUAAAAUAUAAUAUGACUUCAAGUGGGUAAAUAAUUGAAAAUUUACUUAAAUACAACAAAAAUAAUUUUUUUUCCAUUUUUCUCCUUUUAAAAUGGGAUCAAAAUGGAAUGGAAAGACUUAAAAUGUUAAACUUAAAAUGCCAACCUAAAAGAAUUUGUUUUUCUAUUUCUUAAAAUAUAGAAUUGUAGAAAGAAAAUAGAUUUGUUUUUCCAAUCGAUUCACUAUUUAGUUUAAUUGUUUUGGUAAAUAGAUAAAAAUGCUUUUGGAAUAUUUUUGUAAAUUCAUUGAUAAUAAGAAAAAUGUUUCUUAUUGGGUACUAAUGGGAGUUUUGGGUAAAAAUGAUUUCUUUAAAACAGAAAAUUCAUAAAAUAAUUUUAUUCUCAAAAUAAUUUUCAAUGUAAUGUGUCUUAUUCAUAUAGAUAUUCACAUCACAACACUGUAAUUAGUAAUCAUGAUUUUUGAUUUUUUUUAAAAAAUAGUCAAAAUAGUAGUUGGUGAUCAUAACUUUAAAUUUAAACCUAAAUCCAAAUUUUUAAGUUCAAAUUUUAAAUCAUGUUAAUGUUCAAUUUUUUAAAAAUUAUUUUGAUUGGAGGUUUAGAUUGUAAAUUUUUUUUAAUACAUUAUUUUUUCUAUAUCAAAAUAGUGUUGUUGUAACUAAUUAGUUUUAAACUUGAAGUUAAAGUCAUAAUUGAUGACUACGGCUUUGACUGCUUUUAAAAAUAGUCAAAGUCGUAGUCAUUAACUACGGUUUUAAACUUAAAGUUAAAACCGUGGUUGGUGACUACAGUUUUGAUUGUUUUUAAAAAGUAAAAUCGUAGUUACCAACUAUGGUUUUAUGACAUGACAAUUUACGUGGUAUAAACACAUUAGAUUGUGUAUUAUUUUGGAAAUGGGGGUACUUUAUGAAUUGUUUUUUUAAAACAUAGUAUUUUAGGUCAAAGCUCGUGAAACCAUCUCUAAAUUCUGCAUCCCUGUACUGGAAAUCCACCAAAGGUCAAUCAUGGGCGUGAAACCUAGAAUUUGUUUUGAAAAAAUAUAAACAAGUGUUGUUGAUCCAGGCAAAGCACCGAGUUGUCAACUAAGGUCAAUGAUGUCACACUCUGGCAAAGUACCUACAUAGAGAAAGGCAAAUGCUCUAUUGAUAUGCGAGAUGAUUUUAAGAAAGAACUUAUGAGACAUAGCAAGGAAGGAUUGAUUUGACAGAAUGGAUGACUUCUAAGUAGCUGGGGAUGUAUUUCCUCAGCAAGGUCAUGGCAAAGCUACUACCCUUCUUACAGUCGAUGACUAUCUUGGAAGAAGGUACAUUAUACAUGAUCCCAGCUAUAAGCAAAGGUAUGUAAGACUCCCCUUCUUUCUUCCACGUAGCUCAGGGAAAGGGUGCAGAAAAAAGGAAAGCAACAUACUUAAAGAGUCUUAGAUGGCCCUUAAGGAGGAGGAUGAGCCCGCUACAAAAAAGCCCAUGCCUAAGCAAGUUAUGGGAGUGAUUGAAAAAGUUAAAGGAUGUGAUACUAAUCAAGCUGCCUAAGAAACUCCCUCCUAGAAAAGAGUAAGCUCGGUCGAUCGAGUCAGAACUACGGUAAAGCCCCCUGCCACAGGACUCUGCAGGAUGACACAACUAGAAUUGGAGAAACAAAGAAAACAAUUCUUUUGAUAAAAAAAUUAUAGCGCUUGAAAUAUUAGAAGCCUUUCCAAUGUUGAAAAACAAUUCUUCUGAUAAAAAUUUUCAAGUACUAGAAAUAUUAGAAGUACUUCCUAAAACUAUUAUCAAACUGAUUCUUAAUGUGUUAACAAUUCCAUGAUUUUUGGCUAUUAAUACUUCAAAUGAUGUGCAAUACACUAAAUUGGAGCACAGGAAGACUUGGCACAUGAGUCAGUCGGUGGAGACUUCGAUUAUUGCUUUAAUAUGAUCAUUAGUGAGAAUAUCUCUGUUUGUGUGGGCUGUGGCACAAGGGAGAGAAAAAAAGUCGGCAAAACAGCAGGGGAGAUGAGAUUUUUUUGCUGUGGAAGAAGCUUUCUCUGUUUUCUCUGUGGUUUUUACUUCCUUUGUAGCUCAAGCAGAAGAGACUACCACAGUAGGUACGCUACCCAGCUAUGUUUGCAGUGGAAUAAAAGCUCAGGGGCACAUGCCCUUUUUCCUCAAUUUUCCUCCAGUAAUUACCCCACAAUGCAAAAUCUAACUCAGACAAUUGUACACAAAGUGACUAUCAGAUACAUGGUUUGAUGAUGGAACGCCAAAGGAAAACAAGAGAAACAAAAAGGGUCUAGACCAUUUUCAUUCAAAGGGCUACAGAGGUUAUUGAAACGUGUUUUGUUGAUUUUGUUCUUCAGGGUCAAUCUGCUUGUAUGCCUCCCAGUAUCUCUCUGUCACCCUAUGCCACUGCCUCUCAGCCUGCAAUCCCAUAAGACCCUGGGUAUUUCUUUACAUUAUACUACUGCUAGUACAUUAUAUUAAGCUAAGGUUGUGCAAGGUGAAGCCACUACCACCUUGAGUUUAGAAGGUACCUUUAUUUUUCUAUGGGAAAAUACAGUCAUUUUUCCUACGGAUAACCAAUCAUUUGCAGAUGUAUGCAUGUGAUGGACAAAAUUAGUUCAUAACAACCAUUCAAUAUUCAUAAUUUACCAUUGCUUUCAUCAAUGAAUAGCGAUUUAUGGAUUGCCGUAAGGAGACCGACAAAAAAUAUGAAGAAAAUUAACUUUCUCUAUAAGCUAAAGCAUGGUCAUGGAUAUUGGGUAGGCCUAAGGAUAAGAGCAAAUUUUUUAGGGCUAGUAAUACCUGCUCCUUCUUCCAUGUUAAUAUCUUCCUCUUUCAUUCCAUGGGGCAAUUUCCAAUUGAAGUGAUAAAGGAGAUUAGCAAAUGUGAGCUCCAACAUUGCAAUCCCCAUGUUGAUCGCCGGACACACUCUUCGCCCUGCCCCAAAAGGCAGCAGCUCGAAAUGUUGACCUUUAAAAUCAAUGGAGUUGUCAAUAAAGCUCUCAGGGAAAAACUCUUUUGGGUUCUUCCAGACGUUGGGAUCUCGCCCAAUUGCUCAUACAUUAACAUGAACUCGGGUUUUUGGGUGAAUGUGGUAGCCAUUCAUCUGAAAAUGGGACAUGGUUUCUCUUGGAAGUAGAAGUGGGCUAGGAGGAUGUAAUCUGAAAGUUUCUUUAACCACCAGCUUGAAGUAGAGAAGCUGAUCAAGAUCACUUUCAGUGACUUUUCCUUUAUUUCCUAUGACGCUUCUAACUUCAGCUUGUGCUUUCUUCAUUACUAUUGGGUUCCUUGCAAGCUCUGCCAUUGCCCAGACCACCGUCGAUGCACUAGUGUUGACUCCGGCCAAGAGUAAAUUCUGAGACAAAUAAAGACCUUGGUAUGCUAAGCAAAAGAAGCAGCACCAGUUUUUUGUUUGAAGAGUCAGAGAAAGAGGUCUGCUUGACAUAAUAAAUAUGCUCAAAGGCAUUCUACCCCAGUACCACUUCUUUCCCUGGUAUGGCAGGCUAUUUAUAUGUACUAAAAUAUGAAGAUGAAGUUUUUGUUAAGAUUUUUUUUUCUAUAAUUCAAAGUUAUAUAUAUAUAUAUAUAUAUAUAACUUUGUGUGGACCCCGCAUCUCGGCUUAUGCGUUUCCCACUCAAUGGCGAGCUCGAUUUUUAUUUGAAAAAAUUGAUUUUAUUUAUUGUUUAGACAAAUCACUUGGAGUCGUCACUUAUUUUUGUUUUAUUUUUAAAGGGUAAACAAAAUAAGAAAGAAAACCUUAAGUGUGACUCUUUAUUUUGGAAAAGGUAGUCUGCGAAAAAACGGAUCGGAUUCGGGGGUCAGGUUACUUAUUGGGAAGGUACGGUAAAGACCGUAGCACUCCUCUAAGUCCCUAGAAACGAGUCUCUACUAAUAAAAUAAAGCUGAUGUGGCAAUUAAUGAGGAAAACAAUAAAUACCUGGAACUAUCAUGCACAUAUGAGAAUCAAAACAUGUAUAUAGAAAGACCAGAGUGGGAAUAAAUACGUACCUGGGCGACGAGCCACAAUAAGAUAUCAAAAAGUGAGGUUAGUGCACAAUUAAGAAAUAAUUUCAAGCAUCUCAUAUAGCAAAAUAACAUCAAUCAUGCAUGGUAAUUAAAUCAAUCAAUCAAUCAAUCAAUUAUAAAUUCACUUAUAUGGGGCCUCUACCAAAACUCAUUUAUUUUUACAUGAAUUAAUUUCAUAAAUUCCAUUAUUCGGAAUUACAAAAUUUAACUCAUGUUUAUUAAAAAAUGUGAAAAUUAGGAAAUUAUUAAAAAUCAAUGAGGAUUUAUAAAAAAAUGUGUGCCAAAAAUAAAUAUGGCAAUCAAUUUUAUUUUAAAAAAAGAAAAAUAUUUAAAGUCAAGAAAAGAGAAGAGAAAGAGAAAAUAAUAAUAACAACAAUAACAAUAUUAAUAAUAAUAAAAAUGAAAAUAAUAAUGAUAAUAAUAGUAGAAAAAAAUAAAAAUGAAAAUAUGAAUAAAAAUAAAGUAAAAGAUGCAGGAUGAUUAAACAAAAUGAUAAGAAUCAAUUUUUUAAAACAAUGCAUGGGAAUAUAGGGGUGAGACACGUGGGUUUCAGGAGCGGCCCACCAAAGGGGGCCAUGCAUGCCAGGCUAGAAAGAGAGAAUGGGUCCUAAAGGUGCCACAGAUACCUCCAAUUGGAUAUGACUUAGCAACCACUCGUUUCCAAUGUUCAAAGUCUGCAGUGAAAUCCUCCGGUGCUGCUCUGCCAUAAACCCCAACCUGGGAACUUGUCAAUCAGUACGGAGUUUUAUCCAACCUUGCAGGUCAUAGCUCUAGCCAUUGAGAGCCGCGUUUCGAUGUAUCAACUGGCACUUUGCAUACAUGCUCGCAAUGGGAUAUUCCAGGCAGCAUUUGCAUUUUCUAAAUCAGCACAGAUUGGAGAUUCAUUUUUGCGACCUUUUCUCAUAGCAAUUAUUAGAAGUAGGCUUCUUAUAUAUUGCUGCUGUCACACGAUUCAUCACAUCCCUUUUAAUCAACCUGGCCGUGAACAAUCGGAUAGCUUAGAUUGGUGGAGCUCCGAUUUUGAUUCAAGAACGACUUGUUGACAGCAACAACUGUCAAGGCAAUGAAGCACGGCUCCACGUUACCGGCAAAACCCAUUUUAGUAUACCCGGUGCCGUUGUUAAUGAUCACAGCGGGGCGAGAAGCGGCUGAAUCCAUGUGAAGAGGAAAAGAGAUCGAGGCAAUUGCGGUGAUAGCAGUAACGGACCUGUGUCAGAGAUCUGAUAUAGGGUUUAGGCUGGUUGAUCACGGUCGUUGAAGGCGCCUCCAAUAAGGUGGCAGUGAUGGCGAUGUCACAUGCACUCUUCUAACCCUCAAACCUUGUAAUGAUGACCAUCCUUGCGAAAAUAUCGAAGUGCUUUUCAGUCAAACAGGAACAGAGAACCAACUGGAGGUGCAUUAGGUGGAUCAGAUGCAAAAUAAGGCGCUGAUGAUUCCAAUCUAAAGGAAGUAAGGAUGAUCCGCACGUAAACCGAGGAAACUGGGCAUCCUAAACAAUGCAUGGUCUAGUAUCAAAGCUGAUGAUUUGAUUCCUAGUCUUACAAGUAUAAGAAAGGCUUCCGUCUUCACCUAUGUGUUAGCUGCUGCUUGAGGGAUUAGAACUCGACUGCGAUGACUGAAGUUGGCGUGGAUGAUCAGAGUUUGGAUGCUCAAAGCCAGAACUCUGGAAGGCCUGAUGGAGAUGAGGUUAGAUAGAGCCCCAUUGAUCCAGCUGGUUGUUGGUCAUUGGGCCUUGAAAGCCCAUGCAAAUACCUGUUGUUAUGCUUGCCAAUAUCUCUAGGAGACAAAUUAAGUGCGUCUCUUAAACUGUUGGUGGCUGCACCAGUUUGUUCUGAGAAGCAAGUUCCUCAAGAUUCCGGUCAAAAGCCUCCGCCGGCGUCGUUCGAGGACAGCUUUGCUUGGUUUAUUAUUUUCUCAAUUCCUCAAUCAACCCACUUUGAAGCAUCCAGCGUAAUGGAGCACUCAUUCAGUUUGUUAAAUGGUGAACUUGCAAAGGCCUGAUGGCUUGUACAUCCCAUGCAGAGGGUUCCACUUUACAUGUUGAAUUCUUUUUUUGAUAUAUAGAACAGUCUCAGCGAUCGUAGCACUAUCUCAUCCUUGCAAUAAGUUUCCUUACAGCAGCAGCCAUUUCCGAUCUUAGAAAUUCCAAUUUUCUCUUCGAUGACCCACAAAAGCCACUCCGAACUGGCUAUUUUAACCUCGGAAGAGUGGGGGGUAAUCUCAGCUGUUAGUGAAGCAUAUAAAUAAGCUGUAGUUGGAAGAUGCAUAGCUAAACCCUUCUCUUCUCUCCCAUAAGCAUCAGAUUCUAACAGUUGAUUAGAAAUCUCAAGGACCAUCACUUUAAACUGCAUAAUCAAAACGAGAUCUCCACCAAUGCUUCUUAUGGAAUUUCGGGGAGGUUGAUGGACAUCAUAGGCAUUACUUGAGUAUCUGCAUUUUAAAAGGCACAGGAACUUCAAUAACUUGAGUGGACACCACUUUAGGAGGCAUAACUGACCUUUAUCCUCUUCACGAACCAUUUCCGACAACAACCACCGGACUCCAUAAAUACAUGCGCCUGCAUAUAACCAAUGCAAGGGACUGCACCAGUCCGACAUUGAAACCAAAUGGCCUGCCAUGAAGACCAUGGGUCUGAAUUUCUCAACUCUAGAAGCCAACAAUGAAUCGGAUUGCCAUACUGCACUCCAGAAUCUUGAGUCCACAUUCGAUACAGUCGUAUCCAUCCAACUCAGAAAUGACUCUGAGAAUAGUCAUCAUCCACAUUGACAACUGGAAAUAAUCCCUCAAAAUCCUUGAUGCUAGAUAAAACAAAGGGGAUUUCUUCAAAAGACCACGUAGCACCAGGAUGAAGCUAAUUUCUUCAAUAGAGCUCCAAUCCCUGGCUUCUUUCCACAGCUGAUGCUAUUGGACCAAAUUAAACUUUCCCAGAAACCUCCUGAAAAUGCACUAGAUGUCUUCCCCCAGCUUCCUCUCUCUGCUCCAUCGCCUCAGAUUUUUUCUCCAAGCUCCCCCUCAGAAAAGAUCUCUGCCUCCCUCUCAGUCCAUAUAAUGAACAAGAUCCAGGAAUGGAAGUGGCCUUGAUAAUGAAAAAUGCAAUGAAAACAGAGCAUAGAAGAAACAAAUAAAAAUGUCCUCAAAAGGGGCUUCACAUCAUGAAUCAUCAGUGAACCUCCUUCUUAGGUGAGAAAAAUAGCACCAAAUGCAAAUAUUGGAAGGAUUAUUGGGUAUUUCAUAACAGAGACAAGGUACAUUAAGAUCAACAAUGGCAAACACGAGUUCAAGAUUAUAUAUCAACAAGCAACAAGUGGCCUUCAUCAUCCACCCCAAGCAAUCCAACAAACGUCCAAAUAUCAACAAGAAAUGUAGAGGGAUAGCAAAGAUCCGAAAUCAAACAAUAAGUCAGUUGCAUCCAUACCUGAGUGAACCCUUUUCCAGUGAGGCUCUGUUCAACUCCAAGCGCCUUAAGUCCUCCUCCAAUGCCGAUGAAACCAGCAAGCUUACCUCUCUGUAACUCUCUUACCAGCAGCCUCCUCAAGUCCCCAUCCUCCCCUCUGUCUUGACCUCCUGUGAAAGCUCCAUCUUCUCUCAGGUUCCUCCUCCUCCCCGGUAUCUCCCUCUCUCUCUGAAAAUAUCUUUUUUUUUUUUUGAAACGUCUCUCAACCCCCUCCCCAGCUGCCAGCCAAUCUCUCACCCAAAAGGCCACCUCCUUCCUGUAAACGAAUCUCCUCUAACAGAAAAUAUGCGCUCCUCACUAACGGCCAGAAUAUCUCGAUGACACGUGUCAAACUCUCACUUGCUCCUCAAUUCCACUAUCUGAUUCUAUGACCACCAACCACGAGGCGACACGUGGCCCUAAUGAGACUGUAACACUUGUCAAAACAGGCUGCCUGGGAGAUGAGGCUCCAAAUGGGGUCUACACUUUGAUAAUAAUAUUGUAUUUGUCAAUAAAAAUAUAAAUUUGAUAAGUGUGCAUUCAUUAUUAAAUUAUACAAAUAUUAUUGAACAAUAAUAUUAUAAUAUUUUAUUAUAAUAUGUCUACUUUUAAAAUAUAUUUAAUAUUAAAAUUAUGAUAUAUUUAAUUCAAUUGUAUUAAAUAAUAUAAAAUAAAUAAUGAUAAAUAUAUAAUUUUUUAAUAUUUAAUUAAUAUAUUUAUUAUAUUAAAAACACUAUGAAUAAAAUUAUCAUGAUAACUUUUAUAUUUUUGUUAAUCAAUUAAAUAAAAUGUUUUCAUUUAAUUAUAAAAUAAUUAUAAUUUAUUUAUUUUUUAAAGUAUUAUUUUAAUAUUUUGUUUAUAUGAAUCUAUGAUAACUUUUAAUGUAUAUGUUUAGUGCAUAAUAUUUAUUAAGGGAUAAACUUGUCUCAAUGAUAGGGAUGACAAUGAGAUAGGUUUUUUCAAAUACUUAGGAUGGGUUUGAGGCAAGUUUGGAUCCCUUUUUAAUUUUUUUAAUAGAAUAAGGAUAAGAAUUAUUUUGAAUAAAUGAGAUGAAGUUGAGAUGGGAACUAGUUGUCAUCCCUAUCCAGUGGUGAUUGCAUGUGAUGAUUGAACCUUUUGAUGGGAUUCAAAUCCCCUCAAUUAUUUUAUUUGUUCCUUUGAAUUCUCCUGGGAUGUUAUCCCUGGGAUUUUACAUAUAUUUUAUCUAAGUUUAUUUUUUAGUUCCUUUGUACUAUAGUGAUUACGAUAUCAUCUUAGAUUCUAUUUAAAACUGUUAUUUUUGUGACGUCAUCAUAAGUUCUAUUUGAAUUUAUUCUUUGUUCCUUUGGACUCUUAUCAUUGGGAUGUCAUCCUAAGUUCUAAGUUUAUUUUUAGUUGUUUUGUACUAUAGUGAUUCAGACAUCAUCUUAGAUUCUAUUUAAGUUUAUUCUUAGUCUUGAACUUUUAUUUUGUGACAUCAUGAUAGGUUAUAUUUGAGUUUAUUCUUUGUUUCUUUGGACUCCUGUCAUAGGAAUGUCAUCUUAAGUUAUAAGUUUAUUUUUAGUUCAUUUGGACUAUCAUCAUUAGAACCCGAUCUAGGUUCUAUAUAGAUCUAGCUUCUAUAUAAGUUUAUUCUUAAUUUCAUUGGACUCUCUAUCCUUCUGAUACUAUCAUUGUAGCACAAUCACAAAUUUUGUCUUUUUCCUUUUAACUCCCAACUCCCAACCUUUACACAACACACAUCCCAAGUUUUUUUUCUUUUUCCAAUUAUUUAUUUAUUUUUCACAUUUGAAUUUAUAAUUUAUUUUUAUUUUUGAUUUACAUUUAAUUAUUUGAAUAUUCAAAAGUUUCCCAUUUCCACAAAUAAAAAAUUAUGUUCAUAUAUUUGCAAUCUUCCUUAUCUAAAAUUAAAUAAAUCAAACAAAAAGAAUAUCUAAACUAUUUAAUGAAUCCGAAAAACUAAUCUAGGGUUAAAAUCAUACUCUAAAAAAUUGAUUUUCAAAUUCCAAAAUCUCAAAUAUGUGCCUUAGGUUAUCUAAUAUUCGUAAGUCAAAAAAUCUAAUUUAUACAACUUUUAAUAUGAAAAAAACCUUUAUAUCAUCUUUUAAUUUAUUAUUAUUUUUAAAUUUAUGGUUUUACCCUUCAAAUUUAAUUAGGACAUUACGGAAGGUAUGAGGCUUGUAAGCAUCUUUGAAUUGUGAUAAUUUUUAUUAUUAUUUAUUUAUUUAUUUAGAUACUUAUUUUAUAGUCUACACUUGCGGCCUGCCAAAUGUACAGACACCGGGGCCUUUGUGGCCUACUUACCGGAUUCAGCAUCAGAGCCAUGCACGCCAGCCCUAAACGCCCCUUUCGGAAUCCUGAAAGGACCGUGAUGACAGAGACUGACAAGACCUCACAUACAAUUGAUAAUCAUGGUGAGAAAAUUGGAAAUUAUCUUCUUCCAAAAACUAUUUUUAUUACACAAUUUGAAAUGGUGAUUUUGACAGAGACUAGAUAAUUCAAACACCAGAGCUUACCUCUGCUUUCCUACCCAACUGGCAAUUGAUAGAUUCUGACAACCAGAUCUACCGAAGAUAUCAAGUAAACUUCUUCAUAAGCUCAUUUUAUUUAGUCAAGGAUAUUUGAUUGGCACAAGGCUUAGAGCAAUCUUUUUAUGGACAGAGAGGCCUGGUGCUUCUUCCAUGUUGAUAUCUCCCUCCUUCAUCCCAUGGGGCAGUUUCCAAUUGAAAUGAUACAAGAGAUUGGCAAGUGUGAGCUCCACCAUUGCUAUCGCCAUAUUCAUGGCAGGACAAACUCUUCGCCCCGCCCCAAAGGGCAGAAACUCAAAAUGUUGUCCUUUGAAAUCAACGGAGUUGUCAAUAAACCUCUCUGGGAAGAACUCUUCUGGGUUGUUCCAGAGGUUGGGAUCUCGCCCAAUCGCCCAUACGUUAACGUAGACUUGGGUUUUUGGAUAAAUCUGGUACCCACUAAUCUCUAUAGUGGACAUGGUUUCUUUUGGAAGUAGAAGAGGAACAGGAGGAUGUAGUCUCAGGGUUUCUUUAACCACCAUCUUGAGGUAGUGAAACUGCUCAAUAUCACUUUCCCUGACUUUUCCUCUUUCUCGGAUAUGACUUCUGACUUCAUCUUGUACUUUCUUCCUCACUCCUGGCUUCCUAGCAAGCUCGGUCAUUGCCCAGACCACGGUUAUUGCACCGGUGUCUACUCCGGCCAAGAACAAAUCCUGCUCAAAGAAGUAAGCCUUAAUUUCAACAAUCAAAAUUGAAGCAACAACACAUUCAUGAUAAAAAAGUAGCUUACCAUAAGGAUUGCUUUAACAUGAUCUUUAGUGAGCUUAAAUGCACUAGAUUCAUCUUGUUCCUUCUCUAUGUUGAGAAGCACGUCAAUAAUGUCCUCAUGCUCCUCUUUCAUCCUUCCUGGAUUGAGAUGCUCCUCAAUCACCUGUUGGUAAAAGCAAUCCAAUUCAUGGAAACUCUUCUCCAACCUUUCAUGAAUCCCAGUGAGUCUAUCCACAAUCCUACCGACAUAUGGAAAGAAAUCAGCCGCAAAGAAGCUGCUCAUCAUGGCAGUGGCUUCAUGAACCACUUCUUGAAAUCUCCCUUUACCGAAUUCACUCCCUUCAAAACUCCUCCCAAAUGCAAUCCUGCAAAUCAUAUUUGCAGUGAGAGACAUGAUCUUGUCAGUGAGGUCAACGGGGCUUGCAGAAGAAGAUGAUUGUGCCAAGGAAUCAAUCAGCAAAGCAACCUCUGCUUCUCUGAUGACCUGAAAUGACUGCACCCUAUUCGUGCUGAAAAGCUGGAGAACGCAUAUCUUUCGGAUCUCCCUCCAAUAUGGGCCGUAUGGUGCAAAAGAUAUGUCAAGAUAAUUGUAGGACAGUCUUCCAAUGCUGAUUAAGGGAGGUCUACUGCAACAGGAAAUAUCAUGAUCUUUCAACACCUUUUUUGCAGCUUCUGCGGAUGAGACUACAAGGGUAGGAACAAAACCCAGGUGAAGGAGCAUUACAGGGCCAUAUUUCUUAGAUAGUUGCCACAGAGAUUGGUGAAUCAACGCACCAAGUUGGUGCAAGUUACCUAUAAUGGGAAGCUUAGGAGGGCCAGGAGGCCCCUUUUGCUCCUUCAACUCUAAUAUUUUCUUCAGAAGAAACAGCAGUGAGAGGAAUAGGAGAACCAGGGGAAGCCACAGAUCCGGGGAAUAGGGUGCCAUUGAUGAUUAGUUGGAUUCUUAUCAACAAUAAAUAAGCCAUGGACCCCCUGAAAUUCCACUGGUACACAGUGAUUUGUCCUGUUCAUCUGUGGAUAAACCAUGAACCUUCAAAAGCCUUCCUGUUCACACAUAGCGAAAGUCACUUUAAGCCCAAUUAUAAUUAAUCAUGACCCCUUCAAGUCCUAAUUACUUAUUUGUCCAAUUAAUAGGUAUAUCUCUUGUAAUCACUUCAAUUUUUUCCUCCUUCCUUAGGACCCUUUUGGGAGUGAUUUUAAUAAACUUAGAAACGUUUUUCUUAUGAUUAGAAAUGCCUCUUUGUAGAAAUUAGGUGUUUUAUAAAUUUUAAAAAUCACUUAAAAUGACACCUGAAAAAUUAUUUAACAUAUGAUUCUUUCAAAAUCACUGUAAAAUGUAUAGUGAUAUUUUGGCCGGUUUGUAAUUUCCAAAUCACAAUGAUAUUUGAGGACAACAUUUCAACAUCCCACCUCAUCAUGUUGAAAAUCUUGGCAACAAGAAAAUCCAACAAGAUUCCUAAUUCCAUCCAUGAAUCAUAAUAUACAGCAUUCCUUUAUCAAGGGGUUAAAAAGGAAAAAAAAAAAAGGAUACAUGGAAACACCUUUCACAAUUCACUCAAUCAAUCAUUUCCAAGUUUUGGAAUUUUGAAAGGAAAAAGAAAAAUAUUAUUUUAAAAAUUAUUUUUAAAUAUGAGAAUCUACUUUUUUAAAAAAAAAAAAAAAAUUAUGACAUUUUUUAACACAUUAAUAAAGAAGUUGCCUUUUCAAAAGAUAUUUAAAAAUAGUUUUAAAAUUGUAGUACAAUAUAAAUAACUUCAAAAUGGAUAACCUUAAUAAUUUCAUAAUACAUAAUUAAAUUUAUAUGAUCGAUUAGAAGGUCUUUAUAAAAUAUGUGUCGAGUGUCACUUGUUUUUUCUUUGUCAAUGUUUAUUACUUUCUUUACACUUUUGAGAUGAAAAGUCUUUAUUAUGUUAUUUACUUAAAUAAGUUUUAUUUGAUUAAAUAUUCAUAAAAUAGAACAAUAAAUAAGGCAAUGUUAUAUUUUUUUAAAAAUAAAUAUUUAAUAGAAUAAUGAAUAAAUAUUAAAAAAAAAAAAUCCUCUAAUGAUAUACUAUAGUGUAGAAUGUUGUCAACCAAUAUGCAACACUCUCAUAAAUCUUUUCAAUUUCUACUUCAAUGACAUUUAGACCUUCCUUGCACACCACAUAUAAAAGACUUUUUCAUUCAACAAAAGUGACCUGCUCAAUGAUAAUUUCUCUAAGAGAAUAUCAAUCAUUCCAUCAUUACUUGAGCAAUUAUCCACAGUGAUUAUAGAUAUUUUUCUAUCAAUAUUUCAAUCCAAUAAAAAAAAAUAGUAACACAUAAAAAAGAACUUAUUUCCUAUGAGGAGGAGGCACAUAAAUAAAUAUACAUUAAAUAGCAUAUGAAAACAAUAAAUUAUUAUGACUUUCUCAAAAUCAUUCGAAACAAUCAAUGUCAACUUUCUUUUUUUAGAUGUCAAUGUUCCAUCAGAAGUUGAAGUACUACUAUCCAUAGUUAGAUUAAAACCAAUACUUGGCGUGCAAAAAAUAAUUUCUUCUUUGAUUGUCAUUUUGUUGAACCUAUAGAAUGUUUUAAAAUGGUUUUACAACACUUUAAUCACAAUAAAAUUCUAUUUGUCAUAUGCUUAAAAUUUAAGUACAAAAAUAAAAAGAGAAACAAACAAGUUAAUUUACUAUAGCCUAAGUUCUAACAUUAAAGUGUUAGUCUACCAAAGAAAACAAUAAACUCUUUUAAGUGAAUGGAAAAAAAUUGAGGAAACAAGUAACCAAAAAUUUAUAGAACCUAGAACCAAAAUGGGAUAUUUCUACUUUCACAUAUCCUUUUAAAAAAAAUUGACAGCUUCUUAGAAUCUCUAAUUUCAAUUGUUAGACAUCUCAAGAAUUAUUUGCAUGACUCAUUUUAGACUUAAAAGAAUGAUGUUCUUGUACCCAAACACAAAAUUGAAAUUAAUAUUUUAAUAUAAUAAUAAAUUUGUUCAUGUUUAUUGCUCAUUUUCAUUAAGUUACUUGUUUGGGAAUUUAGUCAAAUAGGCUGAAAAUUAUUAGACUCCAGUAACACAAACAUUUGAUUUAAUUUACAGAGAGAUCUUCAAUAUCCAUUCACCACUUAGAAUCAACCUUUUUUUUAUUCAUUAUUGUUUGAGUUUUGGAGAAAGAAAAGUAAUACGGGGAAAGUUUGGAUAGUGGCAGCAAAGUUGCAAAGGGACAGGCUAACAAGCCAACUAAUUGUCUACCUUCAGCAAAUCCACUCCCUCUUAACCACAAAUAUGAAAAUCAAGUUAAAAUUUAGGGUUCCUCUUCACCGCAAAUAUGGAAACCAAGUUAAAAUUUAGGGUUCUUUUUCCUAAAAAUGAGGAAUCCACAUAAGUUGUCUAUAAGCUGGUUUUAGAGUACCAAAUGUGAUUUUAAAGCAUACAAAAAAAAAGUGAAUUCAAAACUCUCUCACGAGUGAAAAGAACCCUAAAAUUAUAAGAAAAAAACAAUUAUUUAUAUAAAAGAGAUUGUUGGUAUUUUAUAAUAUUAUAAGGGUAAAUUAGUAAUUAUAUGUAUGGGAUAGGGCAAACUGCUACAAAAUCCAUACCAACCUUGAACCCGACAUGGGUUUUGAAAAAUUCCCCAAACUUGUUUCAUACCCGAUUACCAUAUUCUCAUACCUGUCCCAAUAAGAGCAAAUCAAGACAAGUUUCCCAAUUAACCCACGAAACUACCAUCCCUACUUGAACCUUAUCAAGUAUUUGUUCCUUUCAAUCAUAGGUCGCAUUAUUGUCUCCCUCUUUCCAUUCUUAUCUCUUAUAUCCUCCUUUAAAUAAUUAUAAAAUUGCCGAAAGAACAAAAAUGGGAAGGAGGAAAAGAUAGAGAUGACUUCACAAAAGUAAAGUAAAGAAUAAAAAAUUACAACUUUGAAUUAUAUUUUUUUAUGAUGGUUAAUAUUCUUGAAAACAUUGCUUAACACAAUUUCACAAAAGAUAUUCCAUUCUUGUAAUUAAAACAUGAGACUAACAAAAUUAAGCCAUAAUUUCACAUUUUUAAAAUUAACUAUGAAAAUACUUUUAUGGUAGCUUAUAAAUAUUUUUAUAAACCAUCUGUUUAUUGAUUUAUUGCAAUAAAUUAAGUUAAAAGUUCAAGAUUUGUUUGGUAAUAUUUUUAAAAACAAUUUUUGAGAAUGGUUCUCAAUUAUUUUUUAGAACAAUUAUUUUUUUUUGUGAGUUUAAAUAUGAAAAAUAGUUUCUCAACUUAAAGGCAUUUACAAUAUGUAUAAUAAAAAAAAUUAUGAAAUAUUCUUCAUCUUCUAAAAUAAAUAAAUAUACAUCAAAAUUAUUCUAAAAAUAACAUACUUUUGAAACGCAUUUUGAAAAAAAAUAUUGUUUGUCAAAAAUGUUCCAAAUACAUUUUUUAAAUUAGAAAACAAUUUUUCCAAUAUAUAUUCAUAGGAUCUUUAUGAAAUUUUAAAAAUAUUUAAUAAAUCAAUUUAAUAACUUAAGAAAUUAAUAUAAUUUAAUGAUUCAAUUUAAGUUAUUAAGUAUAUAUAUUUAGUAUUAUAAUUUAAAAUUAAAAUUAAUUUUGACAAGAAAACUUAAUGACUUAAUAUAACUUAAUAAUUUAAACAUAAAAUUACUUUAAAUCAUUAUUAAGUAUUAUGUUUUAUCAAAUUCUAAUUGACUUAUUUUUUUUGGCAUAUAAGUGUAAACAUAAUUUUCUUGAUUUCAGAAGAAAACCCCACAUAGCCUUCAUGCUGGUAGUGGGAGGAAAGACAACAUAAGAAUUUUUGGACGGUUUGACGAUAUUUCGUUAUAUUUGUUUUUAAAAAUUAUGUUUAAGUUAAAGAAUGAAAAGUAAAUUUUUAUUGUUUUCUAAAAGCAAAAAUGUUUUACAAGUAAUUUUGAAGUGCAUUCUAUAUAUAUAUAUAUAUAAGGAAAAAGAAAAACAGUGUGGACCCCGCAUUUCGUGCUCAUGCGUUUCCCAUUCGAUGGCGAGCUCGAUUUUUAUUCGAAAAAUUGAUUUUAUUGUUUGAAAAGAAAAUGACUUGGAGUCGCCACUUAUUUUUGUUUUAUUUUUAAAGGGUAAACAAAAUAAGAAAGAAAAACCCUAAGUGUGACUCAUUAUUUUGGAAAAGGUGGUCUACGAAAAACCGGAUUGGGUUCGGGGGUCAGGUUACUUAUCAGGAAGGUACGGUAAAGACCAUAACACCCCUCUAAGUCCCUAAAGUCGGGUCUCUACUAAUAAAGCGAAGCAAUCAUGACAAUUGAUGAGUAAAUCAAUGAAUACUCAAAUCGAUCAUGCACAUAUGAGUAUCAAAGCAUGCAUAAAUGAUGAUAAGAAUGGAUGUAGCUCGUACCUGGGCAAUGAUCCUCAAUGCGCUAUCAAGAAGUGAGGUUAGCGCACAAUUAAGAAAUAAUUUCGAGCAUGUCAUAGAGAAGAAACAAUCAAUCAUGUAUUAUAAUCAAGUCAAUCAAUAGAUCAUAAAAUCAUGUAGGUGGGGCCCCCACCAAAGCCCGAUUUAUUUUGCAUGAAUUAAUAUCACAGAUUCCAUUAUUCUGGAAUUAUGAAAAUUGCAUUCACGCUUAUAUAAAAUUAAGAGAAAAAAAGAAGAUUAUUUGAAAACUAAAGCGAAAUUAAAACUGUUCAAGUGAAAAUUGGAUUUUUGAAAUUUAUUUGAAAAUUGAAGUUCCGAAGAUUAUCUGAUAAUUGGAGCCUUGGGAAUUGAAUUUAAGAAUGAGAAUUUUAGAUUUUAAAUUUGAAGGAAAUUAGAAUUUUGGGAAUCUGAAAUUAAGUUCAGGAAUUGGAAUUUUGAAAAAAUGUUGAAAAAUGAAAUUUUAAAAUAAAUAAAUAAAUGGAACAACAAUAAUAAGGACGAAAAUAAUGAUUAAGUAAAUGAAUGAAAAUAUCGGAAUUUUUGAAAUUGGAAAUUAAAUUCGAAAGUCGGAAAAUUGGAAUUGUUUGAAGAAGGAAUUUUUGAAAUAGAAUAAUAAUAUUGACGAAAAUGAUGAUUAAAUAAAUUGAUGUGAGAAUUAAAAUUUCGGAAAUUGGAAUUAAAAUUUAUUGAGGAAUUAAUGUUUUUAAGAAGAUAAGUCAUGCAAAUUGAAAACAAAAGGGCUAACUUGAGGUGGGUAUGGGCUUGGAAUGGGCAUAGGCUAACUUAAGGUGGGUGAACAAAUCAACUUGAAGUGAGCAUGGGCUUGGAAUGGGCAUGGGCCAAUGCGGGUGGCUAGCAUAGGGGGCAUGGGGCCUUUCAUCAACAUGCUUGGGUUGGGCUCCAACUCAAGCCCAAACUCGUCACCAAGAGCAUAGGUCUGGGCUCCAACUUAAGCCCAAGGCACCAUCACCAUAAAAGCUUGGGCCUGGGCCCCAACUUAAGCCCAAGGCACCAUCACCAUCAAAGCUUGGGCCUAGUCGUUCACUAAGCUCAUGCGGCACUUAGACAAGUCAAGACGCUUGAUCUUGCUAAGUCAGCCUUGCUCCCCAAUGCUUAGCUUGCUCGGCUAAGACACUUGCGACUCAAAGGCUUAAGAAGCUUGGUAGGCAACUCCUUAAAAAAAUGGAAGCUCUAUUAACUCAAGAAGCCUUUACAAGUGCUUGGAUGCUCACUUGCUUGGUUAGGAAGUGAUUUGGGUGGUGCCUUGGCCAAAUGAGGCCCUCACCUAUUUAUAGGCACCAAGGGAACUCUCUAGAACCUUGGAGGGUUCCUUACAAAUCAAGAAUAUUCUAGAACAUCCUACCCUAUUCUAUGUACAACCCUAUGUACAAGAAUAUACAAGAGAUUCCUAGAAGUCUCUAGAAAGCCUUGGACUCCUCCCAUGCCUUCCACCAUAGUGUAGAGAUGUGUGGACAUCUCUAGGCAUUUCUAGAACCUUCCACACUCUUCCCACCAAUGGCUUAGUGUAGAUGGCUCCAGGAGUCUCCAGAAGCUUCCCUCCUCCUAUAUAAGCCCAUGGGGAGGGUCAUUUGAAACAUCCUGUGACACUCUCCCCCACCGAUGUCGUCGACGUCCUCGUCGUUGCCUCAUUCUGAAACUUCUCGAUGUGUUUCCAGAAUUUUCUCAAGGCAUCCGCAUGUUCCUGGCUUACCCGCCUCUUAGGUAGUCAUUUCCAUUGGACUAGGUACUCUACCACAG
RNAcentral lists this long non-coding RNA (47518 nucleotides) under Vitis vinifera (wine grape). RNAcentral describes it as "long non-coding RNA (VVIN_LNC000110)". Lineage: Eukaryota; Viridiplantae; Streptophyta; Magnoliopsida; Vitales; Vitaceae. The record is from RNAcentral.